UUUGGUUCUAGAAACGGGGCUUAGCUUUGCUCCAGAGCUCGCCAAAAUUAAAGUACAAAUUCUUCCGGUGUUUGGACCUAUAGUGUAGAUCUCACGACUUUUUAUGCGAUCCGAAGAGUGAGACCCUUGAAGAGUUUUGUAAUGUGUCUAGUACAUUUUUGUUUACUUCUCAUAUGUAUCGGAGGAAGGUGCAUUCACCAUAUAUGCUAUGCAUGCUAGUGUUAAGCAUAUCCUUCAUUGUAUUAUUCUCUGCACAUGUUUUCAUAAUAGCUUGGUGGUUAUGUACUGGUUUGGUUGGUUGGUGGGGGGAGACGCAUGUGUUUCGUUCCGACAACAAGAGCGUCAGCACGCAAAGAGCAUGCCGCGUCUUUCGUGUGGCACGAUCAACUUCAACUACUACGCCUGCCAUCCGUGAGAUUUUGACUACCCAAUUUACUCUUCAGCCUCGUCAACUUUCAACGCCAACACAACCUGCAUGCAUUGCAUGUGAGAUUGCUUAGAUACAUGGAUAAUGUGCUACCGGUUACCACUCGUAGGGAUUGUUGGAACAAACGUUUAAUAAUACAGUAUAAAAUUUUCCUAGAAAUAUUAUGGCAAAAAAGAAAAAAAAACUGGGGAGCAUGACAUGAUGUCCCUGCAUCUGCAUGUAUCCGACAAUGUGCUGAUGAUCACUUCUGCAGCUGGGAAUGGGAUUUUGCCUUUGAAAUCCCUGCAUGUAUUCCGUCAUCCUUUCCGAGGAUUCCAAUAUUAUGUUAACGGCUUACAAAAAAAAUCAGUUAAUUAAUUAGUUAACAGCGUUCGACCCCACGAAACUCCACAGCAAGCAGCCAACCAUCAUCCUCUCCCCAGGGCUAUAUAUGCAUGGCCGUCGACCGCACCAUCGCCCAGCUUGAGCUACACACCUCCCCACUGCCCAACAGUCUCGCCGUGUAGCGGCCGCGCUCACUUCCUUCCCAUCGCAUGGCCGGGGCAAGCGCGCAGCCGGCGUGGGCGCAGGCGCUCGCGGCGGUGGGCCUCCUCGUCGCGUCGCGCGCCGCGACGCGCCUUGCGCUGUGGCUCUACGCGGCGUUCCUCCGCCCCGCCAAGCCGCUGCGCCGCCGCUACGGCGCAUGGGCCGUCGUCACGGGCGCCACGGACGGCAUCGGCCGCGCGCUGGCCUUCGAACUCGCCGCCGCCGGGCUCGGCCUCGUCCUCGUCGGCCGCAGCCCCGACAAGCUCGCCACGGUCUCCAAGGAGGUCAGCGCUAGGUUCCCCGGCGCCGAGGUGCGCACCUUCGUCAUCGACUUCGCCGCCGACGGGCUCGCCGCCAGCGUGGCCGCGCUGGCGGAGUCCAUCCGGGGGCUCGACGUCGGCGUGCUCGUCAACAACGCGGGUCACGGCUACCCGUACGCGCGCUACUUCCACGAGGUGGACGAGGAGCUCAGGAGGAACCUCAUACGCCUCAACGUGGAGGCCGUCACCCGGAUGACGCACGCCGUGCUCCCUGGGAUGGUGGAGCGCAAGCGCGGCGCCGUGGUGAACAUCGGGUCCGGCGCCGCCUCCAUCAUGCCGUCCACCCCGCUCUACACCGUCUACGCCGCCACCAAGGCGUGAGUACUGCUCGGCCCUCUCCUCUUGAACCACUUUUGAAGUUAGUUUCAUUCUUGCUAUAGGUGUUAAAUAUGAAUGCAGAAAUUUAAAAUAGUGCAUUUUAACCUUCAUUACGAAGUGAUUCGCAAUUUUUUUUAUUACAAAGUCCGUUAGGAGGAGGAUGUCGUUCACCCGUUCUAGUUUUAUUUUCUUCUUUUGUUAUCAACAUAAAUCACAUCACACGUAAGUAGGAACCGACAUUUCAUUUGAAUCAAUAGCAUAUUUCAUGUUUCAUCUGAUUUGCUUGACAUGUGUUCAGUACUACGAUAGUGUGUCACAUACAAGUAAGCUGAGUGUUAACCGAUAUCAAUAUAUCUUUUUCCAUAUUUUGUUCCAUUAACCACUUUUCUCCCUCCUGACAUGUCAAGUCCACGGUUAGACACGGAGGCCAUGUAACAUAUAUUGGAAAUAAUUGCACAAAUUCUCUUAGAACUAAAAAUUCUAUCUCACCAAUUUUAUCUCCAAACUUUUCUGUAAGCAUAAUGUAAACACAUACAGAAUUUCCUCAUAUUUAUUGUUUUCGUUCUAAAAAAAGCACACCUCAGGGGUAAGAAAGAUGGAUAAAUUCUGAAAUUGAGUAUUCAUUGGCACUUCGAUGCCAAUGAGGGCAGUGAUGAGUGAACUAUAUAUACCCUCGAUUUAUACAACAAAUUUAUUUUAAAGGAAAUAUGGCAAUUUGAUCUUGCUUAAAUCUGCAGACCCUUGCCAUAUGGGUAACACACCGUCUUUCAUUUCUUCACAGUGAUACCAAAAUGAUUACAUCAUUUGCAACUGUAAAGGUACAAAUUGCACACACUAGGAUAGGUACAAAGAUGAUAUUUCAUUUCUCUACAUUUUUUGUUUGCAGAUCACUGGUUUCUCUAGAUUAUACAACAUGCAUUUAUUUGUUUCAAAAAGUUGACUAUAGAUCUCUCCACAAAAAAGAAAGUUGACUAUAGAUUGUAACUAAAUACAAACUCACAAGAAGUAUGUGCGCGUGCGUGCUCGGAAGAAGUUACAUACCACUCGCCAGGCACAGUGAUAGGAACUCAACUAUUUCUGAGAACCGGCAAUGAAACUAAUGUGUUUCCAAUUUCUCAGGUAUGCUGAUCAAUUCUCCCGAAGCCUAUAUGUGGAGUACAAGAACAAAGGCAUCGAUGUGCAAUGCCAGGUACUAGCUAGUUAAUCACUCUUGUAGAGGGCUGUUGCAUUUCAGUUAUCUCCGUUAUUUUGCAUGUCAGGCAUAGUGAUGUUCCUGUAUGUUUAGAGAAAUACAAAUGAUACAGUAGUAUUUUGGUAUUUUUAUGAUCUACCACCCCACCAGUUAAAAGUCUUUACUGGCCCUCCCAACGAACGCAUGGAUUUUCUCACUGUGGCACGAGCUAGUUCACAUGGUUGUAGACCUGUACUGGAUCGUACAGUAGACAGGUACUGGUGCAUGGGCGCGAGUUAGUUCAACUAGAAACCGAAAUCAACUAAAAAAAAUAAAUAAAUAACAAGAAACCGGAAUCAUGACGUGUAGAAACAGUAGGAGCACUCAAUUAGUGUCAGUUCGCCGCAAAUCCUACUGUUUGGUCCAAGGCAGUAAUAAUCAGGAGUUAUGCACUUAUCAGUGUCACCUCAUUCGUCAAACUGAAUGAAUCUCUCUUAUUUGGGCAGGUACCCAUGUACGUGGCGACCAAGAUGGCCUCGAUCAGGCAGGCGUCCCUGUUCGCCCCGUCGCCGGAGACGUACGCCCGCGCCGCCGUGCGCUACAUUGGGUACGAGCCUCGGUGCGCGCCCUACUGGCCGCACGCCCUCCUGUGGUUCCUCUUCUCCGUGGUGCCCGAGCCCCUCGUCGAUGGGUACGUCCUCGGCAUGUCCCUCGGUAUCCGCAAAAUGGGCCGUGCCAAGGAGGCCAGGAAGAAAGCGGUGUGACACGCGCGGUGGAAGAAAGGGCACGUACGGUCGUAAAGAUGGACUCAGAUGAAUGUGUUAAUUCUACAAUCUUCAUGACCAAUUGUAACACGACGAACGACUGAAUGCAGCCUCCCUUCCCCUUCCAAACAGUUUUAUCUGUAUUAAGACUUAAUUUGUGAUAUUUAUCCAUGUCUCACCAACGGGCCAAAAUCGUUCGAAGAUCAUGAAACUGAAUUCAUAUAUUGAAUGUGUUAAGAUCAAUCAUAGACAGCUUUGUAAAGGCCAUCAUAGGGAGCUAACAACACUGGCUGCCCUCGAAAAGUCCAGGGGCCUCCUUCCAUGACUUUAUCCUAAUCUCCAAGGCAAGAAAAUUGCAUGCAUGGUGUAAAGGUUAUUACUGGGUGAUCAGAAAUUGACAGCUGGUGCAAGAUCCCGUGCGAUUCCUCACAUCCUUGGAAAACCAGAAAUCCCCAUACUCACGGCUGGUGUGGACCUUGUCGAUCGCAAGCUAACGUGCCUCCAUGGUUUGUUCUGGCAUAAUGUCCUCAUACUCUCUCCAUUCCAUAAUAUAGUGGAUAUAGAUUUUUUAUAAAGUCAUAUCUCACAAACUUUGAUCAAGUUUGUGGAGAAAAACAUUUACAUAUAGAAUGCCAAACAUAUAUCAACAUAUUCAUUAUAAGAUGUAGUUUCAUGUGUUAUAUAUUUGAUAUUGUACAUACAAAUAGUUUUCUCUAUGAAAUUGGUCAAAUUUUGCAAUGUUUGACUCUUCUAAAAAUCUAUAGGCACUACAUUACGGAACAGAUGGAGUACACCAGCUCAUCUAUGUCUUCCUCAAUGAUGCCUAGUUCAUUCAUCAGGUCCUCAAGUUCCUUGUCCUCCCAUGUCGUAGACGCAGACACGGCACCCGCCAUCACCAAGCUAGGGUUUGCACGAUCCCGAGUGUGUCCGCACCGCCAAACACUAAAACCGUCGUCGUGCAAAGGCCAGGAAGCAGCGCAAGGCUGCCAUUUAGUCAACCCGAGCGGGGGAACAUGAGGGAAGGAAGGGGAGUGCCGGGUGAAAGAUCGUGGAUGUCGCCUAGAGGGGGGGGAGGGGGGGGUGAAUAGGCGCUUUAAAAUAAUUACGGUUUAGGCUUGAACAAAUGCGAAAUAAACCUAGCGGUUAAUUUGUCAAGCACAAAACCUACAACAACUAGGCUCACCUAUGUGCACCAACAACUUAAGCUAAGCAAGAUAAGCAACUAUGUGAUAGCAAGAUAUAUGACAAGAAACAAUAUGGCUAUCAUAAAGUAAAGUGCAUAAGUAAAAGGGCUCGGGUAAGAGAUAACCGAGACACGCAGAGACGACAAUGUAUCCCGAAGUUCACACCCUUGUGUAUGCUAAUCUCCGUUUGGAGCGGUGUGGAGGCACAAUGCUCCCCUAGAAGCCACUAGGGCCACCGUAAUCUUCUCACGCCCUCGCACAAUGCAAGAUGCCGUGAUUCCACUAAGGGACCCUUGAGGGGAGUCACCGAACCCGUACAAAUGGCAACCCUUGGGGGCGGUCACCGAACCCGCAUACUUUGGCAACCCUUGGGGGCGGUCACCGGUACCCGUCAAAUUGCUCGGGGCGAUCUCCACAACCUAAUUGGAGACCCCGACGCUUGCUCGGAGGUUUACACCACAAUGAUUGAGCUCCGAACACCACCAACCGUUUAGGGCGCCCAAGCACCCAAGAGGAACAAGCUCAAGGGUACCAAGCACCCAAGAGUAAUAAGCUUCUCAACUUGUAACUUUCACGUAUCACCGUGAAAAACUCAAACCGAUGCACCAAAUGCAAUGGCAAGGGCACAUGGAAUGCCCAAGUCCUUCUCUCUCAAAUCCCACCGAAGCAACUAAUGCUAGGAAGGAAAAUGAGAGGAAGAACAAGAAGGAGAACACCAAGAACUCCAAGAUCUAGAUCCAAGGGGUUCCCCUCAUAAAGAGGAGAAAGUGAAUGGUGGAAAUGUGGAUCUAGAUCUCCUCUCUCUUUUUCCUCAAAAACUAGUAAGAAUCCAUGGAGGGAUUGAGAGUUAGCAAGCUCGAAGAAGGUCAACAAUGGGGGAAGAACACGAGCUAAAAGGAUAAGGUUGAAUGGGGAAGAAGACCCCCUUUUAUAGGAGCUCCCAAAUCCAACCGUUAUGUGCUCAGUCCGCGCACGAGCGGUACUACCGCUCAGGGGAGCGGUACUACCGCCCGGGCGUAGAACACGGAGAGCGGAGCGAAACAGAGUGCGAGGCGGAGUCGUAUGAGCGGCACUACCGUUGGAGCCAGCGAUACUACCGCUUGGCUCAGCGGUACUACCACUGGGAUCACGCAUAGCGCCAGCCACGAGCACGGGGAGAAGGAACAGGGAGGAGGGCCAUUGAGCGGCACUAGGGGCGGUGGUAGCCGCGGUAGUACCACACAUGAGCGGUACUGCCGCUCCUACUGCCGUUGAACCCGACACGAGAAAGCCACGUCUCGAGUCGAGGCGGUACCAGCGCGGAACCAGAGCCGUACUACCGCUUAUGGCCAUGGGCGGUGCUACCGCUGUGGGACAGCGGUACUACCGUUUGUGGCGAUAAGCGGUACUGCCGCUCCGGCCCAACGGUACUACCGCUGGCACUAUCCUUAUGCCACUUCCACGAAAACAAGAAUACUCCACGGAAAACCAGAACUGCCAUAACUUCUACAUAUGAGCUCCGAAUUGAGCAAACUCAAGCUUGUUGGAAACAAGAUGACGAGUAGCAUCAAAACAAUGACUGGUUAUAAUAAGAAGAGGCAGAGGAGGUAUGCCUAACAAAUAGAGGAGUGAAACCUCCAACCGAGAAGAACCAACAAAACCUCCAACAUCGAAAACAUUAUAGAAGAUGCAUGUGAACUCCGUUUUUGAUGAACUCGAGCUUGUCAACAAGAUGACCAUAAGCUCCAAAACUCACAAAAAGAAGAACCAAACAAGAACCAAUAAAGAUGAUGCAAGGAUGUAAUGGUUUGAGCUCCCUACGAACGAUACGAUCAAGCUACUCAUCGAGAGCCCCCCUUGAUAGUACGUCAAUCAAUCCUAUAACCCGGUCUCCCAACCACCACUAUGAGACCGGUAAAAUAGAAAACCUAUCAAGGGUAAACCUUUGUCUUGCACAUAGUCCACUUGAGCUAGAUGAUGACGAUUUUGACUUCCUCAAGUUGGACCACCUUUCUUGAUUGUGUUGGCUCGAUGAAGACUAGUUGAUUGCUCCCCGUACUCCACUAUGGGUGAGCCACUCUUCCGCACAUAUUCACAAGUCCAUUGUCACCACAAAGGACGGCAAGCUUCAAACAUUUGAUCUCUUCGUGAUGCUCCACUUGAACUUGCACACCGCAACCUAACCCCACAAAGAACCCUCACGAAGACCAUGGGUUAGUACACAAAGCGUAAUUGACAAUGCUUAUCAUACCAUGGGAUCACUUGAUCCCUCUCGGUACAUCUUCUACGCUUUGUAGGUUGAUCAACUUGAUUCACUCUUUGACUUAGUCUUGAUCAACCUCUCACAAGACCAAUCUUUAGGUAAUUCCUUAAAUAGCACCUUGGUCGACACAAACUGUCCUUGAAACCAACACAUGUACUCCAAGAAAAGCCUAUGGACAAAACCUUCAAAUAUAACUCAAGGCAACCAUUAGUCCAUAGAGAUUGUCAUCAAUUACCAAAACCAAACAUGGGGACACCGCAUGUUCUUUCACCGGGGAAAGUCUCAACCUAAUGGAAUGCUAGUUGUAUCCUUCUGCCAAACUAGUUGGAACCUCGUAUCUGGCUAACAUUCGUCAGGAAUGGGCGGCAUUUCGAACACUUUUCAUGGCUAUCAUCCCAGAAAAUGUCAUAUCGCUCUGAAGAAACGGUCACCCACAUACAACUAAAAAUAUCGUCAAAAUCGUUCGAAAUGUCAUGUGUUGCUGGCAAACGUUUGCUAGGUAACAUUACCGAGAAAAAAAGGAUGCUAGUAAACGUUCGAAAUGUCAUAUGUUCCUGGUGAACGUUUGCUAGGUAACCCAACCUGGAAGCUUCCUUCCGCCAAAACCAAUGGCAUGCUAGACUCCUUCCGCCAAGUUUCAAACAUGUGCUAAUCACCUUCCGCCAAAGCUAAUAGCACCGGCCUACCGUUAUCCGGACGGAGAGAAGAGAGAUACAUGGUGGCUUUUGGUGGCUUUUGAUUAGGCAGAUGGAUGUUCGGACUUCCGCAAAUUUUCAUUAGGUUUACUUUCGAUUUACAUCAAAACGUACGCGUGGACACUUCCAAGAAGAAAUAAGGGUUUGUGUUAGAUGACAAAGUACGUCCAGAUAACUCGGUCCGGACGUUUGCAGGCUAUUUGAGGGUUUGUAUUGAAAAUGACCUUAUUGCCAAGAAAAAGAAAGGAGUGCCACCUCUAGUCCGAACAAAUGUAAACACAAGCUUCGUUCCGACACAAGAAUCUCAACAUGCAAAGAGCAUGCUGUGGCACAAAGCAGCUCAGAUGUCAAUUUUCGGAUAAUCAAGUAUUAUGCUGGCCAUCCGUGAGAUUUUGACCACUACUUGAGCUUCGUCAACUUUCAACGCCCGCACAGCCUGCAUGCAUUGCAUGCCCAUUCUAAGAACUAGCCCGUCACACCUCGAUAGACCAUACUAGAACCUACCACGAGUAUGCUCAUGUUAAGAGACUUGCAUAAUGUGCUAUCGAUUACCACUUGUAUGGAUUGUUGGAACAAACGAUUUUUAUGGUAGUCUUUUUUUUUUAAAUUGUUCACGGUGGUUUCUCUGGAGUGGCAUCUAUUUACAAAAAUAUUAUCGGUUGUGUGAGCGCGCAGGUAUACACAUGGCGUUUCCUUGACAGUGGUAAUUUUGAGUGACUUUGCGCCAAGCCAUGAUCCCCCAAGCCUCAAACUCGGCCACCUAGCUCUCAUAGCCUACAUUAUUCACAAUAGAAAUCUCUGGAUGCAUUCAUCAUUCCUCUCCAAGGGUUCCAGUAUUUUGUUCAGAUUGCACAUUGUCAUUUCCUUUGAUAAGUCCAACACUCUUUGUCCUUCAUCUUCUCGUGAUGAAAAGUAUUAUCGUCCACAAAUUUCAUGUAAUGCAUUCAAACUUUUUUUUUUCAAAAAGGAAAGGCUCCCCGGCCUCUGCAUCAGAGUGAUGCAUACGGUCAUCUUAUUAACCAAAUAAAAACGUGCCAACAAGGAUUCAAAGUCUCCAACUGAAAAAAGAAAAGACAGCUCACACAGAGCCAAAAAGGCUAGAGACACAAACUAGCCAGGAAAAAAACGCCACAACCGGCUGGCUAAAGAUAGAUAGGUAAACUAAUUGCCUAUCCUAUUACAUGACUGCCAUCCAAACCAGUUGAAUAUAUCCCGAGCUACCAUCUCCCAGCGGAUAGAUGCAGUAACCAAAUGCUCUUUGGCCUCCAUCGGAGUGAGUAGCGACCACGAACGGAUCACUGCCGUGGCUCGGAAAAUAACCUGCAAAAAAUGAAAACGUGAUGUUCUGUUAAAAACCAAAUCAUUUCUGCACUUUCAGAUAGUCCACAGCAAAGCACAAACUCCAACCCGAAUGUGUCUCGCUAAGUCAGGCUCAAUCCCAUUAAGCCAUGUCCCAAAAAUCGCAUUGACAGUAUUCGGUGGGUUAAUAUUAAACACAAUGUGGACCGUCUGCCAAAGGACUUUGGCCAGCGGGCAAUCAAUAAAGAGGUGUUUGAUCGUCUCAUCCCGAUCACAGAAACUACACCUAGUAGGUCCUGUCCAAUUACGCUUCAUCAAGUUGUCCUUUGUUAAAAUAACUUGUUUAUGGACAAAUCACAUAAACACUUUUAUUUUCAAAGGAACUUUGACAUCCCAUACACUCUUGGACGUUGGAAUGGAGUCCGAAUUAAUAACAUCAAUAUACAUUGAUUUAACUGUGAAUACUUCAGACCUAGUCAGCUUCCAGCGUAAUUUAUCGGGUUGUUGAGAAAGCUGAACCUCCAUCAGUCUCCUAACUAGACGAAGCCAUUCUUCCCAACGAUUGCCCGCUAGCGACCGUCUAAGCUGAAUAUUAAGGGGGAAUAGAUUGAAAUACUGUUGCAACGAACACCUCACAUCGUUGAACAAUACGAUAUAAAGACGAAUAUUGAAUGGCCAAGGGUGUGUCGCCGAGCCAAGUAUCUUCCCAGAAACGUGUACUAGCACCGUUUACAAUAACAAACUUUGUCCUAUUAAACAUAGAUUGUUUGACUUUCAUUAGUCCUUUCCAGAAAGGCGAGUCAGUCGGCCUGACUGUGACCUGGGACAAUGUAUUUGUCUGGAGGUACUUGCUGCGAAGGAUCUGCUCCCACAUGGCAUCAGUCCCGGAUGAGAGCUUCCACAACCACUUACUAAGAAGGCAUCUGUUCUUAACUUCAAGAUUCUCAAUACCAAGACCCCCUUGGUCUUUCGGUCUACAGAUGAUAUCUCAUUUAGCAAGCCGGUAUUUUCUUUUAAGUUCAUCACCCUGCCAAAAAAACGUGAUCGAUAGAAGUCCCGUCUUUUCCUAACACCAACUGGGACCUCAAAGAACGAUAAGAGAAACAUAGGCAUACUCGUGAGCACCGAAUUUAUCAGGAUUAAUUGGCCUCCGUAUGAAAUGAGCUUACCCUUCCAGCAACUCAGUUUCUUCUCAAAUCGGUCCUCGAUGCACUUCCAUUCUCUGUUUGUUAGCCUACGAUGGUGUAUUGGAAUACCUAGGUAAGAAAAGGGUAGAUCCCCCAACUCGCACCCAAACAAUUGCCUAUAAGCCUCUUGUUCGUCUUUGGCUCUACCAAAGCAGAACAACUCGCUCUUAUGAAAGUUAAUCUUUAACCCGGUCAAUUGUUCAGAUAGGCAUAGCACCAGCUUCAUAUUUCUCGCCUUGGCCAAGUCAUGCUCCAUAAAGAUGAUUGUAUCAUCAGCGUACUGAAGGAUGGAUACACCUCCAUCAACAAGAUGAGGAACCAAGCCACCUACUUGACCAUUCUCCUUAACCCUUUCUAUCAAAAUUGCUAACAUAUCCACCACAAUGUUAAACAGGAUACGGGACAUCGGGUCUCCUUGUCUUAGGCCUUUAUGUGUCUGAAAGUAAUGACCUAUGUCGUCAUUAGCUUUAAUUCCGACACUCCCUUUUUGCGUAAAUGAUUCAACCUGUCGGCGCCAGGCUUCAUCAAAAUCUUUCAUACGCAAUGCCUAUUUUUGUUUCCUACUCUCAGUAUUUCCAAUUUCCUAUAGAAAUUCGUAAGAUGUGACACACAGUCUGUGAAUUUUUUUUGACAGAAAGAUUAUGUGAAAUUGUUUUCUGUACCUUCAUUUUAUUUCAAAAGGCCUUCAUUUCAAAUGAUUUUUCAAUUAUAGAUUGUCAUGCUAUUAUGUUUCUUCAAUAAAAAACAAUUCAACUAAGAGGAUUCUGGCAAGAAAAAUACUAAGAGGAACCCCUGCGGAAUAAUACCUAGUAGAGAGCUACUUCCUCCGCCACUCGAAAAAAGUGAGUUUCGACAUUAACUUGAUCUUAAAAUAAAUAUAUAAAUUUAACCACUAAUUUCUGUUGGGGUAUAUGUAUGAAGACCAACGAAUCUAAUAGUCUGAAACUGCUCUUGAGACAAAUCUUUAUAUAUGGUUUUCAAGUUUGCAAUCUACUCCCUCAACUGUCAUAGUGAAAAAAAUGUCUUAUAUUUUUAUAUAGAGGGAUUCAGGGAGUAUGCAUUUAAAAACAAUAUAUAUGGUUAAAAAUUGGUUUACACAUGACCAAAGCAUGACUAUUUUAGUACUCCCUCGGUCCUUACUCGGCGCAUUUCACAAUAUUUCAAAUUUCCUAUAAAAUUUUUUAUAUUGCAAAUGUUAAUAUUUUCUUCUACAAACUUAGUCAAAGUAGAAAUACUUUAACUUCGGACAAAACUUAGCUACGGACUAAAAAGAAGCGGGAGGGAGUAGAUGAAGGGGGUAUGAGAGAAGCAGAGGUUUUAACCAGCACAGCAGGGUGUCCACCGCUGCACUAACGCCCUUCUCCUGUUCGCCAUCCAAAGAGGAGAAGACUCCGUCAGAGCAUCUCCAACAGGGGCCCAACGCGGCGCGCGUAAAAAACAGCUUUAGCGCGCGUUCAUCGCCUGGUUUGGCGCGGUGCACGGCGCCCGCUCCAGCAGCCGCGCUAAAAUGCAGCGCGGGCGCCACUCCAGUAGCGCGCAAAAAAUGCAGCGCGCACAUAACAUUUUUUUUAAUUUUCGAACGCAUAGAUAAAAUAAAAAUUAGAUAGAUUGCAUAAAUAAAAAAUGAUACAAAGGUAUUUUACAUCGAUGCAACUAGAUAGAUAGUUCGAAAGCAUAGAUAAACUACGGCGCAACUAGAUAGAAACUACUCUAAGUCGCUAUCAUCAUCACCAUUAUCAUCCUCGGCGGUGUCGUCCGAGGUGUCUAGCCAGAUGUCCAGCCACCGAUCAUUGUUCGGCGCGAAGAACGACUGCCCACCUGCUGCAACGAUGUCGGACUGCGCACUCGCCAACGCCUUCCGCUGACGCCUUUCCAACCGCGUCUCGCGGCGCCUUCGCGUGUCCUCCUCGCGGCGCCUUGCCCAGUAGGCCUGCUCGUAGGCGGCCACUCCGCCAUGACCCGCUCGUCCUCCUGGGCGACGAGGAGGCGGCGUUGCCGCUCGGCGUGCUCCGCACGGUCUUCCGCCGUGUUCAGACGAGGCAGAGGGGCGAGGUUGAGCGCUUGCUGGAGCGUGUACACAUCUUGAAAGUUCAUCUGGCCGCGCGGCCGGCCUAGGUGCCACGCCGCGGCGUCGUACGCGCGGGCGGCCUCGCGCGCCGUCCCGUACGUGCCGAGGCCGAGCCGGAGUUCGCCGGAGCGUAUCUCCGCGGUGUAGCAGCCGUUGGGGCGCAGGCGGACGCCGCGGUAGCCGGACGCUCCUCGACGGCGCGGCGGCAUGGCGGCGCGUCGGUGACGGGGCGCUGGAGCGGCGCGUGGCAGAGAGGGAGAGGAAGAGGGGAAGAGGAAGUGUGGAGAAGCGCGUGGCGAAGCGGCGCACAGCUUUAUAGGUGCGCCAAAUCUUGCACGAGAGCUGGCGCCUUUUCGCGCACGCGCGCAAACGGUUCCGACGCGCGCUUGUUUCCCGCGCCGCUGGAGCACGGCAAACCGCCCCGCGCGUGCUAAAAGCUGAAUUUAUUGCGCGCGUACGUUGUUUGGGGCGUCUGUUGGAGAUGCUCUCAGUUAAUCGCAGCCAAAAAAUAGUUAACAACGGUCCAGCUUGUGGCGCUCCGACCCCGCGAAACUCCUCAGCAAGCAGCCAACUACCGUACCAUCCUCUCCCCGGCCCUGGGGCUAUAUAUGCAUGGCCGUCGAUCGCAUCGUCGUCAAGCUCGAGCUACACCUUCCCACCGCCCAACCGUCUCACUGUUGCGUCCACGCGCGCUCCAGCUUCCUUCCCAUCGCAUGGCCGGGGCAAGCGCGCAGCCCGCGUGGGCGCAGGCGCUCGCAGCGGUGGGCCUCCUCGUCGCGGCGCGCGCCGCGCUGCGCCUUGCGCUGUGGCUCUACGCGGCCUUCCUCCGCCCCGCCAAGCCGCUGCGCCACCGCUACGGCGCCUGGGCCGUCGUCACGGGCCCCACGGACGGCAUCGGACGCGCGCUCGCCUUCGAGCUCGCCGCCGCGGGGCUCGGCCUCGUCCUCGUCGGCCGCAGCCCCGACAAGCUCGCCGCGGUCUCCAAAGAGGUCAGGGCCAGGCACCCCGGCGCUGGGGUGCGCACCUUCGUCCUCGACUUCGCCGCAGACGGGCUCGCCGCCAACGUGGCCGCUCUGGCGGAGUCCAUCCGAGACCUCGACGUCGGCGUGCUCAUCAACAACGCCGGCCACUGCUACCCGUACGCGCGUUACUUCCAUGAGGUUGACGAGGCGCUCACGAGGAACCUGAUACGCCUCAACGUCGAGGCCCUCACGAGGAUGACGCACGCCGUGCUCCCUGGCAUGGUGCAGCGCAAGCGGGGCGCCGUGGUGAACAUCGGGUCCGGCGCCGCCACCAUCCUGCCGUCCGACCCGCUCUACGCCGUCUACGCUGCCACCAAGGCGUGAGUACUCCUCUCGGUCCGUUAAAAUGCUCCCCACGUCGUCCCACGCUUUUUUUUGGCUAUCUUAUAAUUUUGGCAUAAAUCACAUAAGUAGGGACCCACAUUAGCAUAUUUCAUCUGAUUUUUUAAAUAUGUUUUCAGUACCUACAAAUAGUGUCAUAUCGUUAAGCCGAGUGUCGAUGUUUAGCUAAUUUACAAUUUUCAUCAUCAUUCUACAAUAUUGGUGCGUAUCAUGCUCAGUGGUGGAGCUACACAAGAUUGGUUGGGGUUUUCAAUCUGCACCUUCAUAUAACAAAUUUCUUCACAAAAUUUACCAAACCUGGGGGGGCCAUGGCACCUGCAGGGUUGCAUGUAGCUCCGCCAAUGAUCAUGCUAUAUUGUAAUACUGUUCUCAAUACAUGACUCUUUUGUAACUAAAAAAAUCUAACCAUUUUUAGCUCUAAAUUGUUGGAUAAUAAUCAUAAUGUAAAAGCAUACUAAAAUUCCCUCAUUUUUUCAAUUCUGACUUUGUAUUUUAAACAAAAUUUAGGAUAAUAAACAUAGAAAAUCUUUAAAGAUAAACCAUUGUGUGUAUAACUUGGAAUAUUAUAGUAAGGAUUUGUGUAUUCGCACACCUUUGGAUUGUUACAAACGUCCAUUUCUCUUUUCUUUGUGUAUGUCACUGGUUUUCCUAGAUUAUUAUACAAUAGACCGAGGGAGGGGGCUCACAAGAAGUUGCAUGCCCGCGUCUCAGGCGAAGUGAUUUUGUUUCCUAUUUGUGUAAACUUAACCGUUUCUGAGAACCGGCAAUAAUGAUAUACUUUGGUCUAUCAGAUAUGUCGAUCAAUUCUCAAGAAGCCUAUAUGUUGAGUACAGGAACAAAGGUAUCGAUGUGCAAUGCCAGGUACCAACUAAUAUCACUCUUAUAGUCGAUGCAUUUCACUAACCGCUCAAAAGAAAAUCUUCUUCUUAGCGUUUCUUUUUGUUUGAUUUUUAAAAUACAUACUUUCAUAUUUGUUGGUCUCAUGUAACCCUUUUGAAUUCUCCAGCAUGGAGUUAAUAGUGGGCUGUUGUACUGAAUUUCAGUUAUCUCCAUAAAUAUGCAAAUGCAUUUACAUGAUCGUGAUGUUUCUGUACAUUUCAUGGUAAACAACACUUUGGAAAAUAUAAACAAUAGCUUGACAUUUUUAUGAUUUGACACUCCGCUUGUUAAAGGUAUGUCUUUCCCGCAAAAGACGCUACGGUUUUAUGGGCUCUCAUUUCAAACAUGAUUUUUCUCAUGCUUACACGAGUUAGUUCAAUUAGAUGUGCACUUGUACUUGUACUGGACAGUGUGCAGUAGCUACAUAGACACUGAUGGGGAUAACAGUGACAUGGGGUUUUCAACAAGAAACCAAAUUCAUGACAUGUGGAUACAGUGUGAGCACUUAACGAGUGUCACUUCAAAAGUUAAUGUCCUACAGCUUGUUCUUUUUGGUCCAAGGCAUGUAAAUGAGGAAAGCAGUUGGCAUCGGUUCAGUCGUCCUUUUCAAAAAAAAAAAGUCGCAACUGAUUGAAUAAUUUGUGUGAUGUGCGCAGGCACCCUGGUACGUGGCGACGAAAAUAGCCUCGAUCAGGCAGGCGUCCCUGUUCGCCCCGUCGCCGGAGACGUACGCCCGCGCCUCCGUGCGCUACAUCGGAUACGAGCCCCGGUGCACGCCUUACUGGGCGCACGCUCUCGUGUGGUUCCUCUUCACCGUCGUCCCCGAGCCCAUCGCAGACAGAUAUGUCCUUGGUGUGUCCCUCGACAUCCGCGACAAGGGACGUGCCAAAGACGCUAGGAAGAAAGCCAUGUGAGUGACAUGCGCGGUGAAAGAAAGGCUCAUACGCUCUCAAAGAUCGACCCUCCGCGUGUUAAAUUCUACUACUCCCUCCGUUUUAAAAUAUUUGUCUUUCUAGACAUUUCAAAUGACUACUACAUACAGAUAUAUGUAGACAUAUUUUAGAGUGUAGAUUCACUCAUUUUGCUCCGUAUGUAGUUACUUGUUGAAAUGCUUAGAAAGACAAGUAUUUAGGAACGAAGAGAGUACAUGCCAACUGUAAUAAGAUGAAUGAUUGCGCAGCUAUUUCGGUUGCCAGUCAUCUUAUCGUGAUGUCCUGACAGUGUGUAUUGUGCUUGCACGUACCACAUGUUUCUUGGAUUUGGAUGGCAUAUGUACCAUCCUGUUCCUCCUAGCUAAUAAAAGGUUGUCUAAAUUAGCAAUACCGUUCUUUUUUAUGUACUCCCUCCAAUCUGAAUUAGUUUUUCUUUUUUGAGAACCCAAUCCGAAUUAGUUGAUGCACCUCUAUUACAAUGUAAAGCGGAGGGAGACCACGUAACAUAUUAGAUAAGCAACUCAAACUAAUCCCAAGAAAAUAUAAAGCGGAGGGAGUACAAAAAAAAUCUGCAACAACGUGGUAACCUAGGGGUGCAGAUAUGUAUCGCCUUGAGCGAGACUGAGCAGCCAUUCGCCUACAGCGAGUGUCCAGUUGGGCUGACUAAUUAGCUUCCUACAGGUGAGUUUCAUUUUCAUUGUUUUUCAUUUGUUUUGUAAACUUUAUUUUGCCUUGCUCAUAUUUUCAAGAAAAACCUGAAUACUUAUAUCCAAAAAUUAUAUUUAAUCCAUAUGAAACACUCAUAUUUUCUUAAAUAAUUAUUAAAAUCACAAUUUUGAAAAAUGUUAACACAAUGUAAUUUCUCUGUUAGUGUAACUUAAAAAAUGUUGAUACAAUUCAAAAAACUUGUUCAUGACAUUUAAAAAGUUUGCGCAUUUCAAAAAUAAGUUUUUGAUAUUUUUUAAAAUGUUUAAAUAAUGUAAAAUAUAAUAAAUGUUCACAUAAUUUUUAAAAAAGUUUUGUAUCAUUCAGAAAAAUGUUUCGACAUGUAUUUGACAAAUGAUUAACACAUAUUUACCUACUAGGAAAAAUGAGCGUGUGUUGCAAUGGGAGAAAAAAACAUCACAUCUCUAAGAAUGACUCAAGAUCCUUCACUCAGGUCCAUGUCCUCUAUUUUAACAUAGCAAUCCAACAAUGUCUAUCCUUCCCCCUCCCUUAUGUGCGGUUUGUAAUUGCAAUACAUUAAGAUCUAAAGUAAUAUUUAAAAUCCUAUUAUCCACAAUAUUCUCAUGAUAUCCAAAAGUUAAAAACAAAAGAACAAAUAUAAAUAUAUGCUUAGAAACUCAGGAAAAAAAUUCCACUCAAACAACUUUACAAGUAAAAUAACAACAAAAGCAGGCAACAUUAUUCAAACUAUUUUGGUUUAAAAACAAUAAAUUUUUUAAGUUCGUAAAUCCUAUAACUUUUUCAAAAUACAUAUAAUAAGUAAACAUGGAUAUGAUUUUACUUGAUGUUUCAAGUUGCAUGGUCUCCAUCUUGUUGGUGAACUGGCACAUGGCAAGUUGACACUAUUUUUUUUGCCGAAAUCGAAGUACAAUGUGGUCUGAGAGACGAGGAUGUAUACCGAUGUUCACUUCCUUAGAGGGAAGCUAUGUCACCGUUUAGAGAGGUGGAUGUUACCACGAUGGCACACCAACGCCAUGAAGACUCACCCUAUUCUCUCUUUGAGACAACACCACGAAGGCGUUUCUCAACCACUAGUGGUAGACCUUGCGGUGGUCUCAAAAUCCUCACAAACUUUCCGGGGAUAAUCACAAUGAUUGAUUCCUCACCGAAAGACUCCUACCGCCUAGGAGUCUCCAACCUCCAAGAGUAAUAAGAUCCGAGGGAAAAAAGCUCAAGGCUUGCUCAAAUCACGAUUUGCUUCGGUCACAAGAAGGAGAGGGAGAAGAUCUUUAUUUUGAUUGGAACAAAUCUUUCAAACUCUCAAGAAUCAAACCGGGAUCUAGGAUUUCGUGGAUUAGCAAGAGAGAGGGAGCACAGGUGUUCUUGGGGCGUGUUGGAGUGGAGUGUUCCACCUUAUCUCGAAGAGGUAAGGAGCUAUUUUUACCCACAACAGAAUAGAGCCGUUUUGAGAAGAGGUUGACUUGCCCGGAUGAUCUGGAGGACCAUCUGAAUGAUUUGGUCACAAGCCCGGAUGCUCCGGCUAAAGACCCGGAUGAAAGUGGUAGCAGCAGAACUGCAUGGAGGUCGGACAGUCCGGAGGACAGCCUAGAUGAUCUGGUCACAAGCCCGGAUGAUCUGGAUGAACGAUAGGACGAUCCGGCUUUAUCCACCAAACUUCUGUGACGGAAGAGGCGAUAUUAUCCAGACGAUCCGGGGCAGGUCCGGAUGAUCCGGCUACAAUUAGUGCCAAAUGAUGCUUCCUGGAUGCAUUAUCCGGACGAUCAGGAUCCAGCACCGGAUGAUCCGGGGCCAAGUCCGGAUGAUCUGGGUAUGGGGUCAGCUUGUGGACAGAAUGAAGAGAAAGAGUGGUAGGUUUUGGCUAAGGGGUUUUGCUAGGGAUUUUGGUAUUUUGUGAAAAACUACUUGUGAGGUAGAUUGUGAGCAAGCCUUGAACCUACACCUCGGAUCCCCUCUUAAUAGCGCGGGAUCCCAAUUACUCAAGAAAUGUAUAAAAGAGCACGAUGCUUCGUCUUUGUUUGCUCCUUUCCUCAUUGAUUAUUUGCUUGAGUAAUAUCUCAUAUGAUGUGACCACGACGCACAUUAGAAAAACCAUAGGACUGAUGACCUGUGUAUAUACUUAGCAAACAAGGUUAGUCCCCUAUAUGUAAAUUUGUCAUCAACAUCAAAAAAAUUCUUAAGAGCAAGAUUGCACUUUUAAUCUCCCCCUUUUUUGGUCGUUGAUGACAAACUACAUAUAGCUCUCAGCAAGUGAAAUGUGAUGCGAAUAUUCUUAGGAGAGUUGUCCUCUAUGUGUUUUAGGGAGAGCUCCCCCUUAAUGUAUGCAUAGGAGUAAAGUGAUAAAAUACAAAAUGAUGCACAUAUGGCGUGGAUACCCUCAUUCGGCAUAUAAUGUUCUAACAGCAGUGUAGACAUACACCAUUAAAAGCAACAUAAGCAACGAAUGAAGAUAGCAUACAUAAGCUCUUACAGGGUACUCAUAACUCAUAAUCUCAUACAAGGUAUAAUCUCAUACAAGGUAGCAUAACACAUGACCAAAGGUCAAUUACAAUAAUAAUAAUGAGUCCAAUAACUAGAGCUCAAUAAACAUAGCUGACACACACUCAUACUCCUAAGAAUUACAUCUCCCCCUUGGCAGCAAGUACCGAAAAGGGGAAAACGGUAGAGAAGGUAGGAGGAUCACUCAACAUCCUCAUCAUCAUCCCCAUCACCAUCACUCAGAUCAGCAGGGUUAAGGAAGAACUCGGGAAAGUCAUCGACAGAAGGAAAGUAAACCUUCGGAAGAGGAAGACGAUCAGGAAUAGGCUCAUCUGGCUCGACAGGACUCCCAGGGCGCGCAUGGAGGCGAGCCCUAAGUGCAUUCGCCUCAGAGAUACGACGAACCUCCUCGGUAGCAAUGUGAGUAGCAGUGUAGCGGCAAGUGUCAAAGAUAGCCUUGUGGGACUUGCCAAUGAAGCGAGCCAGGCGGUCAAAAGGCUUCACGAAAGGUUUAGUGUGGCGAGAAGUGCACAAGGAGGAGCAGGAGCCUUCCCUCUGGAAGACUCAUCACGCGGAGUCCACAUGGAGUGUGUGGAUGUCUUGGUAAUGGGACAAGGAUAGACCAAGUCGAUGACUGUCUGAAUGAAAGGGGCAUGGGGAAGUGUACGAACCUUCAGACAACUAGCCAUGUGGAUCUCGUUCCAGAGAAAAUCUGCCAUGUCAAUGGAACGGGUGGGAGCCUUCCUAGAGUAGUACAUCAACUCAAUGCUAUAGGCCCGAACCAUUCCACGAUCCCCUUUAUUGGGAGCAAUGGAGUUGAGGACAUACUGGAAGAACCACUGGUAUUUGGGAUGAAAGAUAGAGAUAUCAUUAAGCUCCUUUUGUUGCUGCGUUGUGGAUAGCUGGGUGGUAGGCAGGACGAGAUAGCCACAUGCACUGAUGGGCAUGGGCUCAAACUUGGGGUUCACCUCAUGGAUCCGAAACAGAGAGGCCUCAGAUCCAGGCAUGCCCAAAGCAGCAGCAAACUCCUCGAAGGUGACAGAUAACUGAGAGUGGUGAGUCAUCCAAGUGAUAGACCGGUCCGGAUGGAAGAAACAUAUGGCAUAGAAUUGCCGAAUGGCAGCCUCAUUCCAAUCACAAUGAAGAGACAUAGCAUGACACAACCCCAUGCCAUCAAUCUUCUCCAACACACCUUCGAACUUGGAAGGAUUGUUCUCAAUGAAACCCAAGUUCACGUAAUGUUGAGGAGAGAAACCAAGAUGAGCAAUGACGAAUUGGUAGAGGUCUUGUUGAACCAACAUGCAAAAACAAGGAUCGGUGGCAUUUGCAGGAGCGGGAAAUUGGUUGACAUCACUCCUUAAGGCAGCAUACUUAGAGGGGUCCAUGGGCUGAUAAUUGACAAAACAACGGCCACGUUUGGUGGGGUUGGCCAUGGACAGAACGAGACCAGUAGUUGCCGCAGACUGGGAGCUGGAGGCACCGGUUGUUUUCUUCUUCUUUGACUUAGUCGUGGAGCGAACAUGCACGAGAUCCUCCCCGUGGAGUUUGGCCUAGUAGUCAGGGUCGUCCUGCCCGACAUAGGACGGACGAGCAUGCCCCGGCUCCUUCUUGAGUGGACGAGCAACAUCCUCUGAGUCCGUCGAUGCUUGACGACGCACAUCUGUGUACACACAUAGGAGAGAGAGCCAACUCGUUGAAUGACUAAACCUAGAUGAAAAACGGAGAAAUAGAGGAAAGGAGCAUAUGGAGUACCACAAGAGGGGCCGAGGACGUCGACUUGAAGCUCCGGCCACCACCUCCACGUCCGACCACCAUGUCGGAGUUGGGGAUAGAGGGCGCGAGAUUGGGGAAGAUCCAGUCGGCCCCGAGAGAAGCCGUGCGAGGAGGGAGUAGAUCGAGGAGGAGGUAGCGUGAAAGGGGCAAAACGAGGCAGUUGGACGGCCGUACUAGCAGGGCCGGCCACGAGCAGCCGGUGGUGGUGGGAGGGGCGAGCGGUUGGGGGCAGUGGGGAAGAAAACAGAGGGGUACCCCUCUGUUCCUACUCGGCCCGAUUUUAGUUUUGGGGCGUGGACCCACCCGGAUGACCGAAAGGAGGCCCGGAUCAGCCGGAGUGUUCCAGAUGACUGGAUAAUGGCCCGGACAUCCGGGCAUACGACAGAGAGACCCAGACAUCCGGAUAUAUAUCCGGAUGAUCCGGUCAGCCAGAGUGCAGAUAGCCAGAGUUAAUGAUGAAGUGGUGAUGAUGUGAUGAUUUUGACAUGUAUAUCUUUAUAUAAGUGUGAGUAACAACAUAACCCAGAGCAUAGCACACACCCGCAUGAACAACUAAGAAGAGUUUUUAACCUAAGUUACCAUGUUUGAGUAUACAUAACUUGGUAUACCAAAGAUGAGAACUUUGGACCCAAGAUUACUACUCCAUCAUUUUAAGGUGCUAUGGACACUUAAAAAGUGUCAUAGUGACUUUGAGAGUGUUGGUUUUGUUUGCACAUUGCAUAGGGUAAAGAGGAUUCAUGAAUUGAAGUUCUCCCUCGAAAUAUAUGCCCACAUCAAGACAAGACAUGACAAAAAUGCAUGCUUGGGUACUAGAUUUCACAUAAUGUUGUCAAGCUCCAAGAUACCAAGUUCACGCCUAAGUUGAUAGAAUCUUGCUUCAUCCAAUGGCUUGGUGAAAAUGUCAGCAAGUUGCAUAUCUGUACCAACAUGACCAAUAUCAAUGUCACCCUUUUCCACAUGAUCUCUCAAGAAAUGAUACCUAAUAUCAAUGUGCUUGGUGCGAGUAUGAUCUUUGGGAUUCUCAGCAAUAUUGAUGGCACUUUCAUUAUCACAUAGAAGAGGCACAUGUCUAUAGUUGAUACCGUAAUCCUUCAAAGUUUGCCUCAUCCAUAGUAAUUGAGUUGCACAACUGACGGUUGCAACGUAUUCAGCUUCGGCGAUGGAGAGAGCAACACAAUUUUGUUUCUUCGAGGACCAACUUACCAAGGAGCGUCCAAGAAAUUGACAUGCACCGGAGGUGGACUUACGAUCCACUUUGUCUCCAGCCCAAUCCGCAUCUAUGUACCCAAUGAGAUCAAACUUAGCAUCCUUGGGGUACCAUAGACCCAACUUUGGGGUGUGAACAAGGUAUCUAAGAAUAUGCUUAACCGCCUUAUGAUGACUUUUCCUAGGGUAAGCUUGAAAUUUAGCACACAUGCAUACACUAAACAUGAUGUCUGGUCUAGAUGCACAAAGAUAAAGCAAUGAACCAAUCAUAGAGUGGUAAAUAGAUGGGUCGAAAGGGAUACCAUUUGUGUCUUCAGUGAGUACAAAUUUGGUUGGCAGGGGUGUCUUACAUGGACUAGCAUCAGACAUGCCAAACUUCUCUAGGAUAUCCUUGAGGUAUUUUGCUUGAGACAAUAAAAUUCCUUCUUGAAAUUGUUGAAUUUGGAAUCUGAGAAAAAACAUCAAAUCUGCAUUGAGUGACAUUUCAAAAUUCUUGGUCAUGGAGGCCACAAACUUCUUGCACAAAUGAAUGUUAGGAGAACCAAAAAUUAUAUCAUCUACGUAGAUUUGGCAUAAGAUCAAAUCACCCUUGUCCCUCUUAGUAAAAAGAGUGGGAUCGAUCACCCCUCUCACAAAACCAUCAUCGAGUAAAAAGUUCUUAAUAUGAUCGUACCAAGCACGAGGUGCUUGUUUGAGGCCAUACAAAGCCUUAUGAAGUUUAUACACAUAGUCUCUAUGAUCGGGAUUAAUGAACCUAGGUGGUUGUGAUACAUAUACUUCUUCUUGUAAAGGACCCUUAAGGAAAGCACUCUUCACAUCCAUUUGAUGUAAUGUAAAACCAUUGAAAGCAGCAUAAGCAAGUAAGAUGUGGAUAGAUUCAAGACAGGCAACGGGGGCAAAGGUCUCACCAAAGUCCAAACCUUCAACUUGUGAGUACCCUUGUGCCACUAACCUUGCCUUGUUACGGAUGAUUACACCAUUCUCAUCUUGCUUGUUCUUGAAAAUCCAUUUUGUUCCAAUGACAUUGUGCUCCAUAGUUGGCCUCUCGACUAAUGACUACACUUGGUUGCGUUCAAAACUGUUCAACUCUUCUUGCAUAGCAAUGAGCCAAUCAUUGUCCAUCAAUGCAUCUUGUACCUUGAGAGGCUCAACACUAGACACAAAUGAGAAGUGAGCACAAAAGUUUGUCAAAUGUUUACGAGUGACUCUACAUUCUGAUAUGCCAGUGAGAAUUUUGUCAAUAUCAACACGACCGGCCACUCGAGGCAUGAUGGAGGUUUGGGUUUCGCGAGGUUCAACUUCAUGUCCAUCAUCCACGUCCUCAACAUAUGGAUCAUUAAUGUGUGGUGGAAGAUCUUCUUCACAUUGCAUUUGUUGAGGUUCAUUAUCAAUGAUUGCACUUUCUUGUUCUUGCCCUUGAUGUUGAUCUUGUUCUUGAAGAUUAUCAUGAAGAGGAACUUGAUCAUCUUCUUGUACUUGGACUAAGGGCAUUGGUUGAGCACUAGGGGCUUGUGGUGGUAUGGGUGUUGAAGUAGUUUGAUGAUGGGUGAAGCUUCCAUCUUCUUCAUCAUCAUCAUGAGGUUCUUGUUCGAUUUGAAGAAGUGCACCAACACCCAUGGUCAAAAUAUCUUGAGAAGAAUAUUCUUCACCUACAUCACUUAGAUCAACUUGAUCCCCAUGGGAGCCAUUAAAUUCAUCAAACACCACGUCACAAGUUUCUACAACACAUCCAUUGGAUUUGUUGUAGACUCUAUAGGCAUGAGAGUUUGAUCCAUAGCCAACAAAUAUGCCCUCAAUGGUUUUGGAUUGAAAUUUUCCUAAACGUUCUCUUUUGUUGAGGAUGACGCAUUUGCACCCAAAUACACGAAAGUACUUGACAUUUGGUUUGUUCCCAGUUAGGAGCUCAUAUGGAGUCUUUUCCAAUAUUGUGCGGAGGAAGACCUGGUUUGAUGCAUGGCAUGCGGUGUUGACAGCCUCGGCCCAAAAACUAUGUGGCGACUUGUAUUCAUCCAACAUGGACCUUGCCAUCUCCACAAGUGUACGGUUCUUCCUUUCGGCUACACCAUUUUGUUUAGGAGUGUAUGGAGCUGAAUAUUGAUGUUCAAUCCCUUCAUCACUAAGAAAUUCUCCCAAUGUGUAGUUCUUGAACUCAGAGCCAUUAUCACUUCUUAUUGCCAAGAUUUCUUUAUCAAACUUGCGUUGUGCUUGCUUGGCGAAAUCAAUGAAGAUGAUCUUCGUCUCGUCCUUGGUCUUGAGGAAGAACACCCAUGUAUAUCUUGAGUAAUCAUCAACAAUGACAAGCCCAUACUUUUUCCCACCAAGACUAUCCCAUGAAGGAGGCCCAAAAAGAUCCACAUGAAGGAACUCCAAAGGCCUUGAAGUAGACACAAUAUUCUUGGGUGGGUGCUUUGAUUGAUGUUGCUUCCUGGCUAUGCAUGCACUUGUAAGUGCAUCUAGUGCCCCUUAGUGAUUUUGGUGUAUUGAAGACUUAUAGGUUAAGGGACUAAUGCGUUUGUGAGUGUACACAAGUCUAUAAGUCUAUGAGGAGCUUGAUAUUUACAGAGAAAGUCGACCCCUAAAAAUGAAGUUCUUCGACUGAAGACUUUGGAUCACUGAAGACUUUUUGAAGACUUUGAAAGUGAAGAAAUUGGUGUGACCUUGAAGACUUGGUAUUCGUUUGAGGAACAUGAAGCGUGAAGACUUUUGUUUUCGUAGUUUCAUUUUCUCUUUUUGAGUCAUAGGAAACACCAUACUGUUAAAGGGGGUCGAGGAAAUACUAAGGAAAAAUUUCCAAGUGAUGCUCAACUCAAAAUCCUACACCUACCAAUCCCUUCGAGUGAAGCCAUUGGAAAUCUCAUACAGUCCAGUCAUUUUCUUCAGUGACAAAGACGAAUUUCUUCUGGUCUUUGAGGAAUUUGUCCUGACCGAGGAGUUAGGAAUUCGCCAGUGCGGAUUGCCUACACAGUGAGGAACAUGAUAGCCCUGAGGAUUUUGCUACUCAAAAUUCCGACCGUUGCUGUGCUAUGCGCCAGCUGUCCCAAAGUAUCUAUCCACCUAACGGUCAUAUCAUUGAAGGGCAUUUACGUCUUAUCAUGUCGGGUUACUCCCUAGGCUAUAAAUAGCCACCCCUACAACCACUAGUUGGUUGGCUGCUCCAAGAGAAACUGACACUUGUCAUUUGAGAGCAACCCAUCCUCUGAGGACUUUGAGCGAAAAUCAUCAAGUGAGGAAAAACCCAAAACCCAAACACCUACAAACCCCAAGUGAUUGAGCAUCACCGAAGAGAUUGAUCCUGCGUGGAUCCGAUGCUUGUUACCUUUGAAGAUUGUGCUUCUUCCAGACGGUUAGGUGUCAUGGUCUAGAGCAUCCAAGAGGAAUUGUGGAUCGCCGAGUGACCAAGUUUGUGAAGGUUCGGAAGUCACCUGAAGACUUACCACGAGUGAUUGGACGAGGUCUGUGUGAUCUUAGUUCAAGGAGAAUACGGUGAGGACUGGGUGUCCUGAGCUGCGUGUUCAGGACUGGGUGUCCGGGACUGUGUGUCCUCGAGUUUAAAUACUCAGCCGCUCCAACCAGACGUACAACUGAGACAACAGUUGGAACUGGUCUACCAAAUCAUUGUCUUCACCAAGCUUACUGGUUCUAUUUCCUCAACUCUUUCAUUUCCUCAUAACUGUGUUGUGUGCUUGUUCAUAUCUGUGUUUGAAGACUUUGACUGAAGACUUUCUCAAUUUCCUCAGUUCAAUUUCUUCAGUCUGUUUGUCUUCAUCCUGUGUUAUCCUGUGCUUACGCUUUCUGUACUCUGUGCCUAUCUUCAUUUCAUCAUGAUGACUAUGCUUGUAUUCUGUUAUGUUUACUGUUGAGUACUUAUUCCGCUGCUAGUAGUUCUUCGCUAAGGAAUUUCCUCACCGGCAAAUUCCUCAGUGAACAAUUUCAUGAAAAUCGCCUAUUCACCCCCCUCUAGUCGAUAUAACGCACUUUCAAUUGGUAUCAGAGCAAGGUACUCCCUUGUUCUAUGUGAUUUUGGUUUAACCGCCUGGAGUUUUAGUUAUGUCGACCGCAGGUAUGAUCAAGGUUUCUGCUGGGUGUCCUACCUUCGAUGGGACGGACUACCCCUACUGGAAGAAUAAGAUGCGAAUGCAUCUUGAAGCAAUUGAUAAUGAUCUCUGGUAUGUUGUGGAAAAUGGUGUUCCCUCAGUCACACCUUCUCUGAAUGCUGCUGAUGUGAAGAGAUUCAAGCAACUCGACUCUCAAGUGAAGAAUAUCAUAUGUGGCCAUCUGAGCAAAGGACAGUAUGGCCGAGUGAGUGCUUUGGAAACAGCGAAGCUUAUCUGGGACAUGUUGUCCAAAGUGAAUGAAGGAGUCUCAACUCAGCGUGACUCUUGAGUUGAUGUUCUUCGCAAUCUCUUCAACCGCUUCAAAAGACUCGACAAUGAAAAUGUUCAACAAACCUUCGAUCGCCUCACUGACAUCUCAAAUGAGCUUCAAGCACUUGGUGCCACUGACAUCACCGACCAUGAGGUGGUGAGGAAAUUGCUGAGAUCGCUUGAUUCCUCAUUUGACACUCUGGCAUUGAUGAUACAAGAACAUGCUGAUUACAAGUCACUUGAUCCCACUGAUAUUCUCGAGAGGCUAAAUACUCAUGAGUUCCAACUUGCUGAAAAAAGAGAUCUCUAUGGUACUAGCUAUGGCAGAUCACGUGCACUGAAGGCCAAGGCAGUAUCUGAAUCCGAAGAUGAAGACUCUGGUAGCAGCCUUGGUGAUCCUGAAGAACUAACCCAUGAUCUAGCACUGCUCGUGAAGAAGUUCCAAAAGUUCUCAAGACGUGGUCGCCUUGGAAGAUCCUCAAGGAGCAAUGAUUCCUCAUCCAGUGACUACAAGAAGAGGCUCUGUCACAAAUGCAAGAAACCUGGACAUUUCAUUCAAGAGUGUCCUUAGUGGGAAAAGGAAUCAAAGAAGAAGAAAUACAAGGAUUAAAGUUCUGAUGAUGUGAAGAAAAAGAAGAAAUCCACAAAAUCUUCAUCAUCAAAAUCCUCAAAGUCUUCAUACCACAAGAAGAGAAGCUCCAAGAAGGCUAGGGCAUUCAUUGGCAAGGAAAUGAACUCUGAGGCUGAAUCUGAAGAGAAUGAGGAAGAGGAGACAUCUGAGGAGUCCGAAUCCGGAGUGGCGAGCCUAGCUCUCGCUACUGCGUUCAUCAGCAAGUCUAUCUUCAACACCGAAGAAAAUGACCUCACCAACAAUGCUGAUGAAAGCGAUGAUGACUACACUCCCACCUAUUGCUUCAUGGCAAAGGGUGCCAAGGAUGAUCAACCCAAAGCCACUGAGUGGGUCCUCGAUAGUGGAUGUACAAACCACAUGACUGGUGACAAGAAUCUAUUGAUGAAUGCUCCAUUAUCUCUGUCGCAUCUGAAGCAUAUCAUCUUUGCUGACAAAGGAAAAAGUCAGGUAUUGGGUCUAGGUAAGGUUGCGAUCACAAAGGAUCGACACAUGGACAAAGUCAUUGUCGGUGUCAAAACCGGCAGAUCUCGGGUAGGGGGUCCCGAACUGUGCGUUUAGGAUGGAUGGUAACAUGAGGCAAGGGACACGAUGUUUACCCAGGUUCGGGCCCUCUUGAUGGAGGUAAUACCCUACGUCCUGCUUGAUUAAUAUUGAUGAUAUGGGUAGUACAAGAGUAGAUCUACCACAAGAUCGGAGAGGCUAAACCCUAGAAGCUAGCCUAUGUUAUGAUUGUUGUAUAUUGUCUAUCGACUAGCCUGGCCUCGGUUUAUAUAUUGCACCAGAGGCCUAGGAUAACAAGAGUCCUAGCCGAAUACGCCGGUGGGGAGGAGUCCUUGUCUUGAUCGCCAAGUCUUGUGGAAUCUUCCUUGUAUGCAACAGCUAUCCGAACUGGCCCAUGAGUAUACGGCCAUGGGGGUCCUCGGCCCAAUCUAACAGAUCGGGAGAUGACGUGGUGAGUACCCCCCUAGUCUAGGACACCGUCAGUAGCCCCCUGAACCGGUCUUCAAGUUAGGGACGCUCCUCGAUUCUUCCGAACUGUUCUUCAUCUUUGGUCGCCGGUCUUGAAAACUGGUUCAACAAAUCUUCUCAUCUUCUAUCUUGAGGAUCGCCGAAAUGCAUUCGUCGAGUUUACACGUCGGGUAUCCGAGGAGCCCCUUUAAGUUUCCGGCCUUUAUCAAUGCCUUUUUAUUUUUAUGCCACACCUCGGGUUUAAAGUUGUUCCCGGGAGGAAGUGUCCUCUUGCGUCCGAGCUCCAAUGCCGGACUACAUUUGAGGUAUCUUUUGCAGCCGAACGCCAACGCCGGACCGCUUCCCAGCUCUAACACCGGAAUGUAUCCGAGCUGCAACGCCGGACUGUAUCCAAGCUCCAAUGCCGGACUAUGUAUCCGUGCUCCAACGCCGGACUGUAUCCGAGGUGUCGUAAAUCACCUUGGUUCAAAGAAGUUUGAAGGAGUUUAGCCGAGCUUAAUGCCGGAAAUGCCCUCUAUGGAACCAGCCACUAGCGCGCGAGCUUUAUGCUGGACUGCUUCCGAGGUGGUGCACCACCCCGAAUGUGGGCCGAUUUUUGUCAAUAUUUUUGAUUGGUGCAAUUUUAUUCUCUGUCGAGAUAUAUAGCCAGUAGCCCUCAAGGUGGGUAUCGGUCUAAAACCAGAGAUGCACAUGAAGGAUGACAUAAGACCACUGAUCCCAGUAGCCGCUGAGACUCAGGUUGAUUUGCAAAAUCGGUCUGAGGAUCAAGUCCUAGCUCGGCAGAAUACUUUGGGACACAAAAAACGGCGUGCUCAGUCCUCGAGACUCAGGUUGGGUGCGGCCGACCAACCUGAGGAUCAAAAUCUCCUCGGAAACUGUAUUACACUUAAUUUUUUUUGCAUUGGACAAGCAAUGCAGUAGCCCCCGAGACACUGGUCGGGUGGCAACACCAGAUCAGGGGAUCGAUGUGCCCCUUUAAUAUUUGUAAAUAAUAAGCACGAAGCCCAGUAGCCCCCGAGCCUUAAUGCGGGCACGGGUGGCCGAAUUAAGGAUCGAUAUCCAUAGUAAAAUCACAAAUUAUGUGUAAUGACUCUAUGUAUCCAAGUACUUUACGUCAUUAAUGCUCGGAUCUGCAUUGUACAAAACUUUGUUGACCGACCAUCGACUUCCACCUCCUCGGCCAGUAGCCGAGGAGUGUUUGUCCUACUUUAUAAAGCCUUUAUGAGGGCAAAGAUUUACGACAAACAAGGCAAACUGGCCAUACGGUUUUAUAAACAAAGGUACGCAGAGAGAUAUGUUAUAUUACUGUUUAACAGAAGAAAUGUCUUCCAAAGAAAAUAAUCCCGCUAUGGGUUCCUUUCUAUGGGUUCCUUUCUUUGGGUUGUCAUGCUAAGCAUGAUCAUGAAACCUCAGCUCGAAUGUAAGAGCAAAAUAUCGAGGAUUUAGUUUGGGACGCCAGUUAAUAGCCCCUGGUAGUGUUCGGCGAUAGUCGAGGUCAAGCCGUAAACACUUCGUCCAUUAUUAGGAAUGGCCCGUCAUUUAACACCGUCAUCGGAUCGCUGACCAAUUUACGCUUAUUGUGACAGUCAGUUUUCGGCUUUCUCCACUGAGGUGCUUAACCAUGUGAGUUGGAAGCAGAAUCGCAGUGGUUCUCCCUUUGCACACCUAGCCGAACAAAGCAGAAUGUAGGAGGCAAGCGCAGGAGCUGGGCAACCCAACUAUUGACCGAAGACACAAUUCGAAACCGAUGCAUAUAUAGCAAUAUUCGAGAAUGUUUUUGCCGAAUCUCUAAAGGUGUUCGGCGUUGCACUGCGAGACUUGUGCUGAAAACACACAAAUAGUUUAAAAGUGCCACAAUCUUGGAAAACCAAAAAACGUCAGUAAAAACUUGACGUCCGAACAAGAUCAAGUGUUCGAUGCCAAUCUGAAAAUUGGCCUUAGAAAAAAAGUGCUCCCGUCGUGCUUUAACAUGACACAUCCUAUCUCAAGACUUCAAGCGGGUCAGCCUACGGCUUCAACCUCCUAUCCCGAAGGCGGAGUACUUCUCGUUAGGCCAACUUAGCAAACUAAACUCUAGCGGCUUUGAGAGAGAAAUUAGGCUCCCCGGCUAGUGACCACACACUCGUGUUGAAAAAAGGAGUGAUAAAUAAUAAUAGUAAUAAUAAUAAUAAAACUUUGCAACGACUAAGAAGAAGAACACUUAUUAUAAAACGGCUCAAAUAAACUUAAGAGCCCCCAAGUGACUUGAGUAAAAGAAUGAUUGCAUGUACCGAAGUACUUAUAUCAUAUCUAUGUUCAAUCGAACUUUAAACGUGUCUUAACCGACCGUCGGCUUCUCCCUCUUCAGUCAAGGACCGAAAAGUGUUAUGUACUCCAUCUGUCGAGAAUAUUGACGGUGUUUCCAAUAACCAGGCAAUCAGGACAUAGGGCUGUAACAGACAAAGCGCACUCAGGGAACUUAUGCUAUAUUACUGCAAAGUGUAAGAAGCAUCUUUGAAGAAAAUAGUACCCCCACCGAUACCUUUCUUCGGUGCUCAUUGUUAUUAUGAGACUUGUGCAAUAGAUUUUUUGUACUCAUGAGUUCCAUUGUGUGCCGACCAUCAUUGAAAACAAUAAGAGCGCUAGCUUUUGGCUUCACCCAGUCUGAGGUCCGGCUCGGGUGACCCGAUCGUGACAAUCGCAGAGGUGCUCCCUUUACUCCCUAGCCGAACAAUCGGGAACAUAGGGGUAAACACAGGAGCGAGGCAACCCAGCUUGCAAAUCGCUUAAGUCAAUAUGGUGCAUAUUGUGGCGUAAUACAUGAACAAGGAACGAAGCCGUACAAGUAUAAUCAUAUGCAAGAGGAAAAGCUUCAUAAAGGAAGCCCCCAAGUAAACGGGGUAUUUGAAUUUAUGCGUCACAAACAAAGUUUGGACAAGGAAAUUUUUUACAAGCAACUUUUUUCCAAAAAAGUAUAAUGCUUGGUCGAACCGAACACAAGUUAGAAAUUAAAGGUUUGAGCAUGAAAGCGACUUAGCUGGUUAAUGUGUUCGGUAUUGAUGACGCGGUCCGAGCUUGAUGCAGGGCAAGGUUCCAUCCCCCAAGCCGGUCCCGAGGUGGCGGAGCGGAGAGCUCGACACGCCGAAGUGGUGACAUAGCACGGUCAAUGCAGAUCGGUAGAGUGACGCCGAAGUCCCCGGAUCAUUUUCCUGUGCACAAAAAAUAGUGCAAACCGGAGAUAAUAGUAAUAAUGAUAAUUAAAAAAAAUUGUUGCAUAAUAAAUAAUUUAUGCAAAGUGAGUAAUAGAAGAAAUAUGGCCUGGCGCCAAAGUCAAUGUCGAUGCAGGGCGUCGGCGUGAUGCGGUAAAGGCGUGGCAAAGCCUGAAUUCACAGGGUGGUCCGAGUUCCGGAUGCGGCGUUCGCCGGACUAUGUACGGAAACUGACCGAACCACCACGCGACCGUCGUUAAUGCGGCCAUCAUUUGAUAGACCUGUGUACAGAUGAUGGACAAAUCAGAGUAAUAAUUCCUUGGGAAAAAUAAACCCAAACAAGCAAAAAAAUACUAGGAUUAAUAGCACCUGGUUUAUUUGUUGUAGCAAUCCGAAGAAAAGCGAUUCCCAAAAUCGGGAAUCGAUCCGCACACCAUUGCCUGAUGGGUGAUAAAGCGAUGGCCUGGCGAUGCUAGGAAAUGUUGGCUCGCCGAGGAAAAGCCCGUGGUCCAGCUAAUGCGAUGAAGCUGGUUCGCUGGUGACGCCGAAGUCUCCGAAGUAAGUUGAUGAAGAGAUGGUCUAGCCGAGGAGACGGAGCAGGUCGGUAAGGAGACGUUGCAGCUGCCGUGUCAGCCGAGGUGUUGAAGCAGUUCGGCGUGAUGAACAUCAGCUUGAAGAAGCAACAUUGCGGCCAUGCCGACGCAGGUCGUAACUUGUGACGCGGACAAUGCUGGUUUGAUAAAGUGACCAUGCGGUGAUGCCUGUGUUCCCACUCCGUGUAAUCCAUGGGGCGGCGAUGUUGGUGAUGAUUUAUCCUUUGCGAUGCCGAACUCUUGUUCGGCUUGCCGAGAUGAUGAUCGAAGGAAUUGAGCUCGGCUCAAUAAAGCGGCGACGUGUCUAGCGCAGGCCGGCAGCCAUGGAGCAAUACCGCCGGACUGGUUUGACACCAGCGUGAUGGUGAAGAUUACCUCGAAGGAGGCUUAAACUUUUAUGGGUACAUGUUUAAAAACAACGCACAAUACCAUAGAAGAAAAUUCCUUAAAAAAGGUUGUUCAAUAUCACGUUUAUAAAGAAACAUGAAUUCGGGUCGGAUCCGUAUUCGCGCAGAAAACAGAUCCGAAAAUUGGUCCACUCAUCGGAAGUUUCCCGGAGUUUGAACCGUUGGAUCGAGCUGAAAUUUGGAGGGAUGGUAGAUAUGGGAUCUCCGCAGUAGAUGAACGGUUGGAUCUUCCAAAGGCCCUCCGAGAUGGGCUCUGGAGACCAUGCCCUAAACUCGUCCAGAUUUCUGUCCAGAUUUGACAGGGCUCCGGUAUAUCGUAGAUUUUCGGAGAUUCCUUCAUCGGAACUCGAUGAAAUUUUUGAGGGUUGUUGUAGACUCAAUUCCGCACAAUUCAACCAAAGGGAUCGUCAAAGCGAUGCUCUAAGAGGUGGUGGCAGCAGAUACAAGUUUGCUGUUCGGAAAAACAGCACAGUUGCCCGAGGGCAAUGUUGACGUUGAGCCCCCGAGCUCCAUGGAUGAUUCCUCCAUGAUCUUGAUAGAGAUUGGAGUUAAUGUUGAUGAAGGCCCUCGUCCGAACAUGACGAUUGGAGAUGGAGCACGGUCCUCGGUCGAGCCGACGACGAAGAUGUCAGCAUCGCAGUUGACCUGCAGACGAGCCAUCGAUCCUUUUGCCGAUCACACAGCGGAACUCUCAAUGAAAGCACCAAUGUCGGUGUCAAAACCGGCGGAUCUCGGGUAGGGGGUCCCGAACUGUGUGUCUAGGAUAGAUGGUAACAGGAGGCAGGGGACACGAUGUUUACCCAGGUUCGGGUCCUCUUGAUGGAGGUAAUACCCUAUGUCCUACUUGAUUAAUAUUGAUGAUAUGGGUAGUACAAGAGUAGAUCUACCACGAGAUCGGAGAGGCUAAACCCUAGAAACUAGCCUAUGUUAUGAUUGUUGUAUAUUGUCUAUCGACUAGCCUGGCCUCGGUUUAUAUAAUGCACCAGAGGCCUAGGAUAACAAGAGUCCUAGCCGAAUAUGCCGGUGGGGAGGAGUCCUUGUCUUGAUCGCCAAGUCUUGUGGAAUCUUCCUUGUAUGCGGCAGCUGUCCGAACUGGCCCAUGAGUAUACGGCCAUGGGGGUCCUCGGCCCAAUCUAACAGAUCGGGAGAUGACGUGGUGAGUACCCCCUAGUCCAGGACACCGUCAGUCAUGCUUGUUGAGUCCUUAGGAUACAACCUUAUGUCUGUCUCAAUGCUUUGUGAUCUUGAUAUGGUUGUUGUCUUUGGAAAGUACCGUUGUGUUGUGGUUAUGGAAGCUGACAAUUCCAAAGUCUUCGAAGGCUUUAGGAGAGGAGACCUGUAUAUUGUUGAUUUCUCUACAGGACCACAACCAACCAUGUGCUUACUUGCAAAAGCUUCAGAAGGCUGGCUCUGGCAUCGACGACUUGGUCAUGCAGGCAUGAGGAAUUUGCACACGCUUGCGAAGAAGAAGCAUGCCAUUGGCAUCGAAAAUGUCAAAUUCCUCAGGGAUCACCUAUGCGGAGCCUGUGAAGCUGGGAAGAUGACGAAGGCCAAGCAUCCAGCGAAGACUAUCAUGACCACCACUCGCCCAUUUGAAUUGCUUCACAUGGAUCUCUUUGGUCCUAAUCAUUAUUCUGCUAUUUCAAAUGAAGCAUCUCAAUAUGGCUUUGUUAUUGUUGAUGAUUAUUCUCGCUACACAUGGGUACACCUUGUUACUUACAAACAUGAAGUGCAGGAAGUCUUCAAACGAUUUUCCUCAAGGGCUUCAACCAACUUUGGUGUGAAGAUCAAGCACAUCAGAAGUGACAAUGGCACUGAGUUUAAGAAUUUUGGUCUCGAUGACUAUCUUGAUGAACUUAGUAUUACUCAUGAGUUAUCUGCUCCUUAUACUCCUCAGCAGAACAGCGUCGUGGAGCGUAAGAACAGGACUCUUACUGAGAUGGCUUGCACUAUGCUUGAUGAAUACAAAACGCCUUGUCGGUUCUAGACUGAGGCAAUUGAUACUGCGUGCCACAUCAUCAAUAGAGUAUAUCUUCACAAAUUCUUCAAGAAAACCGCCUAUGAACUCCUCACUGAUAAGAAACCCAAUGUAAGUUAUUUCAAAGUCUUCGGUGCUAAAUGUUGGAUUAGAGAUCCUCAUCACAACUCAAAAUUUGCACCGAAAACACAUGAAGGUUUUAUGCUUGGUUACGGAAAGGACUCGCACACCUACAGAGUCUUCAACAACGUUCUUCACAAGGUUGUUGAAACUGUAGAUGUGCGGUUUGAUGAAACUAAUGGCUCGCAAAGAGAGCACCUACCUACUGUGGUAGAUGAACCAGCACCUGAGGAAACUAUCAAGUUCAAGGCUACUGAGGAUGUCAUUCCCACUGAAGAAUCUGCUGAAGAAUUCAUUCCGGAACAUGAAGAACGUCGAGCUAAUGCACCUGAAGAAAAUGCUGAAGAAAAUGGUGCUGAAGAAAAUGCUGAUCAAAUUCUUUAACGGCAACCAGCUCAUCCUCGCAUUGCAAAAGAAGUGCAAGUUGAAAAGAUCAUCAAUGACAUCAAAGCGCUAGGUCCUCUCACACGCUCAAAAGCUUCACAUUUGUCUAACUUUUGUGGGCACUAUGCUUUUGUCUCUAUUACAGAGCCCACUAAGGUAGAUGAAGCAUUUCUGGAGCCUGAGUGGAUUCAGGCCAUGCAAUAAGAAUUACAUCAGUUCGAGCUCAACAAUGUCUGGGAACUGGUCAAACGUCCAGAUCCUCGCAAGCACAAUAUCAUCGGCACAAAGUGGAUCUACCGCAACAAGCAAGAUGAAAAUGGCCUUGUGGUGAGGAAUAAGGCACGACUUGUAGCUCAAGGCUACACACAGGUUGAAGGAAUUGAUUUCGAUGAAACUUUUGCACCUGUUGCUAGACUUGAGGCUAUUCGCAUAUUACUUGCUUAUGCUAACCAUCAUGAUAUCACUUUAUAUCAAAUGGAUGUGAAAAGUGCAUUCCUCAAUGGUAAGCUUGAGGAAGAAGUAUGUGUUGCUCAACCCCCAGGUUUUGAAGAUCCAAAGAAUCCUGACAAAGUCUUCAGACUCAACAAGGCCCUCUAUGGCCUCAAGCAGGCCCCACGGGCGUGGUAUGAUACUUUGAAGGAAUUCCUCACGACGAAAGGCUUCAAACCCGGUUCACUCGACCCUACUCUUUUCACUAAAUCUUAUGAUGGUGAAUUGUUUGUGUGCCAAAUAUAUGUUGAUGAUAUUAUCUUUGGCUGUACUGACCAAUGUUAUAGUGAUGAAUUUGCCUAUAUGAUGAGUGAAUAAUACCAAAUGUCUAUGAUGGGAGAGUUGAAAUUCUUCUUAGGUCUUCAAAUUCGUCAACAACGCAAUGGCAUAUUCAUAUCUCAGGAGAAAUACCUCAAGGAUGUACUGAGGAAAUUUGGCAUGCAAGAUUUCAAAGGCGUCAAAAUUCCUAUGCCCACAAAUGGCCAUCUGUGCACUGAUGAAAAUGGUAUUGACUUCGAUCAUAAGGUAUACAGCUCCAUGAUUGGUUCUUUAUUGUACUUAUGUGCAUCUAGGCCAGAUAUAAUGCUUAGUAUUUGGAUGUGUGCCCGAUUUCAAGCUACACCGAAGGAAUCACACCAUAAGGCUGUGAAGCAUAUUCUUCGAUAUCUAGCUCACACACCAACACUUGGAUUAUGGUACCCCAAGGGCUCGGAUUUUGAUCUCAUUGGAUAUUCUGACUCUGACUAUGCUGGUGAUCGUGUGGACUGCAAGUCAACAUCUGGUACAUGCCAUUUCCUCGGACGAUCUUUGGUCUGUUGGUUCUCGAAGAAACAGAACUGCGUAUCACUAUCUACUGCUGAAGCUGAGUACAUUGCCGCUGGUUCUUGCUGUGCCCGAUUGCUAUGGAUGAAGCAAACUCUCCAGGACUACGGUGUCAAGAUGAAGAAUGUGCCUCUCUUCUGUGACAAUGAGAGUGCCAUCAAGAUUGCUCACAACCCAGUUCAGCACUCGAAGACAAAGCACAUUCAGAUUCGUCAUCAUUUUCUUCGUGAUCAUGUGUUGAAGGGCGACAUUUCUAUUGAGCAUGUGAAGACUGAAGAACAGCUAGCCGAUAUCUUCACAAAGACCUUGGAUGAGAAGAGAUUUAGCAAGUUGCGGUGUGAGCUAAAUAUCCUAGAAUCUUUGAAUGUUCUUUGAAAAGGACACUCAUCCUAACACUUAUGCAAAUUUGAUGACUUAGAUGUGCAACACAUGAAGAAACGUUUUUCUUCAAUUCAAUGAAGAAUAACACUCUUAGUGUGAAGAAAUUAACGAAUAAUUUGAUUCUCAGAACCCUACGAUAAUUGUACGCGGUGUCUGAAAUCAUCAUUCUUAUACGGUGGGUCACGCUAUGACCAAAAGUUGAAAUUCCUCAAUUAUUCAUAUUCUUCAACUUUGCAUUAUCUUCACUGCUUCCGUCGUUUUUCUUCAUUUGACUAUAUAUAUAAGUUUAUGUCCUCUACAGCAUUCACUUAUUGCUAAUUCUUCAAGUUGGUUCUUCUGCUAAGUGAAUGUGAUCGGACCCUUCCCUCUCUAUGCUAUACUCAACCCAAUCUAUUCACAAAUUCUUCAUGUGCAUUCUAUUUGAAACUCGUUCAAAAUCUUCACUGUGUCCUUGUCAGCUGAAGAAAUUGCGAACGGAACUUUAAAACCUAUCUUAUCGAAAUUUUCGGCUUUGCCACUCAAACCGUUCCGCAUCCCAUGUUAUACUUAUCCACUCACCCACGAUCGCACACGAUCUCCACCUCUCAGUACGUCGGUGACACAUGUCAAGCGCAUGAGAAGGGUCAGGGGCACGUUCGUCCAAUUUCUUCGGGCGAGCAGGUUUUCACCGUGGCUAUAAAUACCCCUCCGCCCCUUCCUCACUUCUUUUACUUCGCUCGACCUCUCUCUCCAGUUCGAGCUUCUCAAACCCUAGCACCGCCGCUACUUCAUCGCCGCCGGUGAGGAAGAGCUUCACUGCCUCGACCUCGUCACCGACGUACUCGCGCCGACAGCGGAAAUCUUCACUCCGCCGCCACCAUAGCCGUCUUCCUCCACCAAGUUAGGGCGUGGAAGAUCUGCACAGACGAACUUCACAUCUCCUUACUCCAGUUCGUCGUGUUCUUCGUCCAGGGUAAUUAAAAGUUACUUUUACUACCCUCGUUGAUUUGAAUGAUUAUCUUCAAAAUCUUCAAAGGUGUUUUUUUCAUAGUUUCACACACUAAACACCUCACAAGUCAUUUGUUCUUGAUUCGUUUCUCUAAGCAUCAUUUUUCUUCAAGAUUCCUCAAUUGUGCGGAUCUUCGAUCUAUACAACUCUGGAACCUAAGACAAAGAACGCUUAGGGAAAUUCUUCAAGACUCAUCUGGUCAAAUUCCUCAAACUUGUUCCUUUGAAAAACCCUCUGAGAACGCAUAUGACCUCUCCAAAUUCCUCGCAACUAUACUAUGUUCACAGGUACACAUGUCAGCUGCUGAAUCACUAGGUUCUCAUCAACUUAACUCAUUUGCAGCGUUCCUCGAAGAAAAGUUGCAUACUUCUUCAGAGAAUUCAAUUGUUCAAAUUCCUCAACUGAAGAAAAUGGCUGAUGGUAAGAAGCCACAGAAGGGAGGAAAGAGGCCUGAGGUAAAUACAACGUUUGAGAUCCCUGAUGAAAUAUAUGCUGGGUACUGCACACCUACUGAGGAAACCAAGAAUGAGCGCAAAGUGCGCAUUCAGAAGAUAGAGAGGAGAUGGGAAAGAGAAUGGAGGGAGUACAAAUAUGUCACUCCUAAGUAUAUGAAGAAAUUCGCACUCAAUCCUCCAUGCCCAAGAGCUCCAUUGGCACCUGGCCAAAUCGCUGAUCCCACCAGCCUCAAGCGUGGUGAGGACUAUCCUGAUGAAUGGGCCAAGCGCCAAGCCAAGUUGGCUAAGCAAGCCAAAGAAGCAGUGAGGAAAUUCAAUGAAGACUCUGCUGCUGCUGCUGCCUCUGCUGAGGCCUUUGCUGUCAAGCCAAAGAAGGCUAUGUCAAAGAAGCCCGCACGCAAGCCAAGUGCUUCACCAACAAUGCCCUCAAGGCCAAGUUCCUCAGCAAUGCCUUCACGGCCAGAAUCCUCAAAGCCCUCACGGCCAAUUCCUCAUGCUGCUCCUGUUCCUCCAAAGUCCUCAGCUCCUCCGCCUAAGCCCUCAGCUAUUCCGACUAAAUCCUCAGCACCUGUGCAUCUCGCCUCGUGCCAAAGGACUGCAGACAUCUCCAUUGCCUCAGGUGUCUCAGCUAGUUCCUUAGUUGCACCAAGUUCCUCAGCUGGCCCCUCACUACUGAAGACAAAGGCCACUGCUGGACGAGGUCCUCGCCCAAGUCCUCAGAAGAAACAAGUCGUUUUCCAAGUGCCGUCUGAAGAAGACGAAGCUGAUGAUGAUGAACUCGCAGAAAUCAUCAGAGACAGGCAAGUCAGGGUCGCUAGAGCCAAAGGAUCAGAGGUGCCACUGCUUUUGGAUCCCAAGUUGAUCCUCGACUACAUUGAUGACUGGCACAAGGACCCCAACACUCCCAGGCCUGACUUCAAGCUGACUCCUGGCCAAAGUCACAUGCUGACCCACUUCAUUCAAGAAGAAAAGUGGAAAUUUGAGAAGGCCAGGCAGAUCAAGAAAGCGCAGUACAAGAAAGAGCGCUAUCCGAAGAAAAACGUUGUCUCUAUGACAACUGAAGAACUUGUCACUAUUCAGACUGAGAUCAAGAAACUCAGUGAUGACUUUGACGCAUAUCGCGCUGAUUGGCUUGGAGCCAAGGUUCAUUUUUUGAAACUUGCGGAUAACUUCACUUCCAAUGUUGCAGCCCCAACGCAACAGGAAAUUCCUCAGGCUGAAGCAUCUGCUCAGCCUACUGAAGAAAAUGCCAACACCACUAAUGACAAUCAGGCUGCUGAAGAAAAUGUGAGUUCCAAGGCUGAUGACUGCAUUCCAACCACUGAAGAAAUUGCCAGGGCACCCACUAGUGGUGUGCCUGAAGAAACUGAAGAACUCAGGGCAACUGCAUCAGUUGUGCCUGAAGAACAUCAACCAGAUUCCUCAGCUGCUCCUGCACCAACUUCAACUCCAAUCCUUCCAUCUGCAUCAGAUGUGAAGAAGACCAAGGCUGCAGAGCGUGCUGCAGCGAAGAAAAGGAAAGCAUCAGUUGCUUCAGAUUCUUCAGCUCCGAAGAAAAUGAAGCCUAUGACAAGUUCAUUUGCAAAUCCGAUUGAUGUUGUUCCCAUCUCAACCAGGCCAUCAAAGGACCUUGUUCCUUUUGAUGAAGAAUAUGUGAUCCCCAGCGGAUCUGAUGAAGAAACUCCUUCUGCUGCUUCGUUUGAACCGUUGGAUGAAGAAAUUGAAGUGGAUGAGAUCCCUUCAACACCUAUCAUCUCCUCGCCCAUGCCUCAGUUCACAGCUGAAUAGGCUGGCGUUGAAGAAAUGGAAGAUGAAGAUGUGGACGUUGGCUGCUCCACACCCGUAAUCAGUGAUGAAUUCUGGGAAAGUCAGCAUCCAAACUCUCCAAUGUUCACCCCUCUAUAGCAAAUUCCUCAGUCCCCCACACAAACUGUACAAAUGGGCUCUGAAGAAACUCAUCCCACUACAUCUGUCCAUGAGGAAAUUCCAGCCACUAGCGCUGAAGAAACUGCUGCUGCUGAAGAACCAACGACGCAGACUGCCACUAAGGAGGAACCAGAAAUUCCUCAGCCUGAAGAACCUGCGAUUGAGAUUCCUGAGGUCGUGAUGCAACUCACUGACACUCCUCUGCCGAAGCCAAAGAAUCCAUUCUCACGCAAGAAAAAGUUCAAGGCUGAUGAUUUCUUCGGCGAGCAUGUAUUCUUCGAAGAUUACAACCCAUAUAACUCUGCUCGCAUUAGGAAGAGGCGUUUUUGGACUGCUAGUCAAGCAAAUUUCUAUUCCUGAGUGCUGUUCAACAAGGAGAAUAUCUUCUACCAUGAGCAUAUUCCUCACGUGGAUAUGGAAUCUCUGUCGUGCUUCGCACCAGUCCUCAGUGUUCUUCACGAUGCUGGACUGCUAAACUUUUACUCUAACAUCUACGAUUGGAAUGAAGAACUGAUUCUUCAAUGGGUGCUGGACUAGAUGUCUGAAAACACUCACUACACUGCACCAACCUCUGAAUUGCUUCGUGCUCUACCACUCAGUCCUCCCCUUGAAGAAGCUCGCUGCAUCUAUAGUGAACCUGAGCUCACACAUUAUUACAUGCAGGUGUUGAUGAAACCUUUGAAGCCAGGUCAAGCACCAAGAACCAAAUUCCUCGUGAAGGAAUUGCUGUACGUGCCCAGAACUGUCUAUCGUAUUCUUACGAGGACAGUCAGUCCUAUCAAAGGCCACGACUCAUCUGAUGAGGAAAUUGUUGGCAUCAUGAAGAAUCUGGUAUUCAACAUCGUUCAUGGCAUUCCUGUCAAUUAUAAUGAUUUCCUCAUGAGGACUAUGGCAAAUGUUGCAUUGUCUCUGUUUGAGCUGAAGCCUUAUGCACCUUGGAUUAUGAGAUUCCUCAGGACAAGGUCUUCACUCAACUACAAAGCUGAUUUCCAGAAUCACCUCAGCUACUUGCUCCCAAUUGAAGUCCUCAAGAUGACAUAUUCCUCAGUUGAUGGAAAGGGCAAGGCACCAGCUGUAACAGAUGAAGGCAUUCGUCCAUUGGAUGGUCAGUUUCACAAAGCUGCAUCUUAUUCCACCAAUGAUGACUCUGCCACACAUGACUCUGCCAAUGCACCCAAGUCCACUCCUCAAGCCAUUGCUCCGCGCGGGAUGACUGACCGUGAACUUGUGCUUAGUCUUCACCAGAAGGUGGAUCGAAAUCACAAAUGAGUUAAGCGUCAGUUUGGUUCACUUCUUCACAACAUGACUGCCACACACAAUGCAGUGAAGAAAAACCACUACUACCUCCAUCAAGUCUUCGGUCGCACCUGGGCAAUCCUGUCACAUCUGUAUGGUGAAGAAGAUCUGAAGAAAAUGGGUCUCAAAGAAGAUUUUGACUGGUCUGCACCUCCACCGAAGAAAUUCAAGAAGGUCAAGGUUCCUUCUCUGGUGGCCAGCUCAUAUUCUUCAUCGCGCGGCACUGAUGAAAAUGAAGACUUGGACGACACUGCGGCAGGCCCUACUACAACAAAUGACCCCAACAACGCUGGCGCUCCUUCAUCAACUUGAUAUUCUUCAGGGGCGUUAGUCCUCAUAUUUGAUCCUUUUGGUCAUUUGAGGACAAGGGGGGAGAAUUUUGAGUUAGUCUUCAAGCGAGUCUUUCUAUAUGGGCAUUUUUUGUUAAGUUACAACUCUCGUUCUUCUAAGACUUUAUUGGAUCGAGUUGUAAACUUAAACCCGAUGGUGCUCUAAUACUUUUGAUAUGAUUUUCUGCAUGCUUAUUCCUCAUAUAUGCUAAUGCACGCAUGCUGAAUUACAUCAGUCACCAUAUUUCAUCAUGCAUUUCAAAUUCUUCAUUGUGAUAUGUCAAAUGCGUGUAUGAAUUACAAGAUAUAGGGGGAGAUCUCCAUGAUUCAACUCUUCAAGUGUGCAUUGCUUCAAAAGCAAAUUCCUCACUAUGCACAUCUUCUGGGGGAGUUCUUCUAUAUCUUGCAAUCAAAUUCCUCAAUAUCAGUAGUUACACUUCGUAUGUUUAUCCCCGUUGAAAACUUAACCUAUAUUGUCAUCAAUCACCAAAAAGGGGGAGAUUGUAAGUGCAUCUAGUGCCCCUUAGUGAUUUUGGUGUAUUGAAGACUUAUAGGUUAAGGGACUAAUGCGUUUGUGAGUGUACACAGGUCUAUAAGUCUAUGAGGAGCUUGAUAUUUACAGAGAAAGUCGACCCCUAAAAAUGAAGUUCUUCGACUGAAGACUUUGGAUCACUGAAGACUUUCUGAAGACUUUGAAAGUGAAGAAAUUGGUGUGACCUUGAAGACUUGGUAUUCGUUUGAGGAACAUGAAGCGUGAAGACUUUUGUUUUCAUAGUUUCAUUUUCUCUUUUUGAGUCAUAGGAAACACCAUACUGUUAAAGGGGGUCGAGGAAAUACUAAGGAAAAAUUUCCAAGUGAUGCUCAACUCAAAAUCCUACACCUACCAAUCCCUUCGAGUGAAGCCAUUGGAAAUCUCAUACAGUCCAGUCAUUUUCUUUAGUGACAGAGAUGAAGUUCUUCUGGUCUUUGAGGAAUUUGUCCUGACCGAGGAGUUAGGAAUUCGCCAGUGCGGAUUGCCUACACAGUGAGGAACAUGAUAGCCCUGAGGAUUUUGCUACUCAAAAUUCCGACCGUUGCUGUGCUAUGCGCCAGCUGUCCCAAAGUAUCUAUCCACCUAACGGUCAUAUCAUUGAAGGGCAUUUAUGUCUUAUCAUGUCGGGCUACUCCCUAGGCUAUAAAUAGCCACCCCUACAACCACUAGUUGGUUGGCUGCUCCGAGAGAAACUGACACUUGUCAUUUGAGAGCAACCAAUCCUCUGAGGACUUUGAGCGAAAAUCAUCAAGUGAGGAAAAACCCAAAACCCGAACACCUACAAACCCCAAGUGAUUGAGCAUCACCGAAGAGAUUGAUCCUGCGUGGAUCCGACGCUUGUUACGUUUGAAGACUGUGCUUCUUCCAGACGGUUAGGCGUCAUGGUCUAGAGCAUCCAAGAGGAAUUGUGGAUCGCCGAGUGACCAAGUUUGUGAAGGUUCGGAAGUCACCUGAAGACUUACCACGAGUGAUUGGACGAGGUCUGUGUGACCUUAGUUCAAGGAGAAUACGGUGAGGACUGGGUGUCCUGAGCUGCGUGUUCAGGACUGGGUGUCCGGAACUGUGUGUCCUCGAGUUUAAAUACUCAGCCGCUCCAACCAGACGUACAACUGAGACAGCAGUUGGAACUGGUCUACCAAAUCAUUGUCUUCACUAAGCUUACUGGUUCUAUAUCCUCAACUCUUUCAUUUCCUCAUAACUGUGUUGUGUGCUUGUUCAUAUCUGUGUUUGAAGACUUUGACUGAAGACUUUCUCAAUUUCGUCAAUUCAAUUUCUUCAGUCUGUUUGUCUUCAUCCUGUGUUAUCCUGUGCUUACGCUUUCUGUACUCUGUGCCUGUCUUCAUUUCAUCAUGAUGACUAUGCUUGUAUUCUGUUAUGUUUACUGUUGAGUACUUAUUCCGCUGCUAGUAGUUCUUCGCUAAGGAAUUUCCUCACUGGCAAAUUCCUCAGUGAAGAAUUUCAUAAAAAUCGCCUAUUCACCCCCCUCUAGUCGAUAUAACACACUUUCAGCACUACACACACGAUCUUUCUCAAAAGAGACAUUAGUUAGUCCAAGGAUGUGAUUACCCUUUAAGAGAUAUUGAAGGUUUCUCAUGCCAACAUGGGCUAGCCGACGAUGACAAAGCCACCCCUUGUCGGCCUUGUCCAUUGGACAAGUUGCAUGGAAUGUGCUCUCUUUCGAGAAAUCAACUGUGUAAAGGCUGCCAUCCAACUCUCCAACAAAAGCCACUUCAAGAGUAUCUCUCUUAAAGACUUUCACAUCCGUUAGUCCAAAGAGUGUAUCAUAACCAACAGAAGCCAAUUGGCGAAUGGAAAGCAAAUGGUAUUUAAGGGAUUGGACAAGCAUGACAUUUGCAAGAGACAUGUCAUUUAUGAUAGCCACCUUGCCCAACUCGAGUACCUAUCCUUUUGAUCCUCCACCAAACAUAAUGCUCAUAAAUGGUUGAAUAGCUUCCAUGAAAUUGUAGAGCAAUUUGCUAUCUCCGGUCAUAUGAUUGGUACACCCACUAUCGAUCACCCAUUUUACUCCACCAGAGAAAGCAACCUACACACAAUUAUGACUUGGUUAGAGGCACCCAUUUUACAAUGGGACCUCUCAAGUUAGCCACAAGGGUCUUAGGUACCCAAAUAGCAUAAAACCGGAAUGCAUUUUGAGGACCAACAAACUUUGCAUAAACUUCUCCAUCCUUAGCUUUACGGAGUACAUAGGAUGGAGGCAUAAACUCUUUUGGCUUGUUGAUAGUGGGCAUGCCCCUUGUGGCCUUCCCACUAACAACCUUACCUUUCUCCUUGUGCCCUUCUCGUACACAUGUUUCUUUUAGAGGAGUGGUGCACUUUUGAGAAGACAACUUCUUCUUGCUUCUGCUUGGGUCAAAUCCGAGCCCCUCUUCGGCAAACACCUCAUUGUGUUGGCUCAAUACCUCAUUUAGGUUCUUUUGUCCUUGAGCACAUGUCAUGAGACCUUUCUCAAUUUGAGCCUUGAGAAAGCGAUUCUCCUCAAGAAUAGAUGCUAGGUCACUACUAGAGUUAGUAGUACAAGCAUCAACAUUAAUAAUAGGAGAAGAGUAAGCCUUGGCUAGAGUUUCAAGAUAAGUAAGCUUGAGCGUCUCAAAACUCUUUGUAAGAAGGGUGAGCUCUUCUUCCUUAGUCUUGAGAGACAUGGAAAGGAGCUCACAAUCCUUAGAGAGAGAAGCAUGAGACUUAGCAAGCUUACUUUUAUCAUUCAUCAAUUCUUCGCAAGAGUCCUUAGCCUUUUUCAAGGAGGCAAGAUCUUUAGCAUGAACAUCAAUGUUUGCACCAAUUUUCAAGCAUAGUUCAUCAUUUUGUGCUUCCUCAUAUUGGACUUUCCGCUCAAGGAUUUAAUAUUUUUCCUUUUCCUCGGUGACGAGGGUCUCGAGUUCCUUAAUGGUGAUGGUGUGCUUCCUCACCAUCUCCAUAAGAAUGCGAAACAUAGUGAGCUUCUUUCCUUUGAGAAAGCACAUGAACUUAUUUAGUUUAACAAGCAUAGGAUCAUCUAUAUCAUCAUCCUCAUAACUAUCCUUCGCAUCAAGAUACUCAUCAGUAGGAGUAGAAGGAGUGAAAAGAGGAGGGUUUGAUUGUGGGGUUACCUUGACCUUGUCAGGAGAGCUUUGGUCCUCUCCAUCUUCUACCACGGCCUUUGCCAUUAGGCACUUGUGAGUGUUGCCCUUGUAGUCUUUCAUAUAGUUGUAGGUGACAACAUUACCACUCUUGUUGACUAGCCUCAAAGUGUUUUGAGAAUAUUGAGAAACUCUGGCAACACCACUAACAUCAUCCGGAUCCGAUUCUUCAUGAGAAACCAUUGCUUUCCCAUCUCUCUUCUUGAGCUUAGAGUUCAAAGGAUUGGGCAACUUCUUCUUGGUAAAGGUCUUGGGAAACCCUGGUUUAUCUUCUCUCUUCUCAUAAGGGCACUCGUUGGAGAAGUGGUUGGUUUCUUCACAGUUGUAGCAUUUUCUCACUUUCUUCUUCUGGAAUCUUCCUUUGAAUUUUCCAACGCUAAACUUCUUGACAAAAAGAGCAAUGUCUUCGUAUGACGGGCUCUCAUCGGAGUCAACCUCAUCACCAUCCUCAUCAUCAUCGUCGUUGUCUUCUUCACUUUGCUCUUCUUCACAUACAUGAAGUAAAUAUGCCCUAGAGGCAAUAAUAAAGUUGUUACUUAUAUGUCCUUAUAUCAUGAUGACUGUUUAUUAUUCAUGCUAGAAUUGUAUUAACCAGAAACUUAGUACAUGUGUGAAUACAUAGACAAACAGAGUGUCACUAGUAUGCCUCUACUUGACUAGCUCGUUGAAUCAAUGAUGGUUAUGUUUCCUGACCAUAGACAUGAGUUGUCAUUUGAUUAACAGGAUCACAUCAUUAGAAAAUGAUGUGAUUGACUUGACCCAUCUGUUAGCUUAGCACGAUGAUCGUUUAGUUUGUUGCUAUUGCUUUCUCCAUAACUUAUACAUGUUCCUAUGACUAUGAGAUCAUGCAACUCCCGAAUACCGGAGGAACACUUUGUGUGCUAGCAAACUUCACAAUGUAACUGGGUGAUUAUAAAGGUGCUCUACAGGUGUCUCCGAUGGUGUUUGUUUAGUUGGCAUAGAUCGAGAUUAGGAUUUGUCACUCCGAUUGUCGAAGAGGUAUCUCUAGGCCCUCUCGGUAAUGCACAUCAAUAUAAGCCUUGCAAGCAAUGUGACUAAUGAGUUAGUUGCGGGAUGAUGCAUUACAGAACGAAUAAAGAGACUUGGCGGUAACGAGAUUGAAGUAGGUAUUGAGAUACCGAUGAUCGAAUCUCGGGUAAGUAACAUACCGAUGACAAAGGGAACAACGUAUAUCGUUAUGCGGUUUGACCGAUAAAGAUCUUCGUACAAUAUGUGGGAGCCAAUAUGAACAUCCAGGUUCCGCUAUUGGUUAUUGACCGGAGACGUGUAUCGGUCAUGUCUACAUAGUUCUCGAACCCGUAGGGUCCGCACGCUUAACGUUUGGUGACGAUCGGUAUUAUGAGUUUAUGUGUUUUGAUGUACCGAAGGUAGUUCGGAGUCCCGGAUGUGAACACGGACAUGACGAGGAGUCUUGAAAUGGCCGAGACAUAAAGAUUGAUAUAUUGGAUGACUAUAUUCGGACACCGAAUGAGUUUCGGGGGUUACCGGAUAAUUAUUGGAGUGGUGGGGGGUUGUCGGAACCCCCGGGGGAACUAAUGGGCCAACAUGGGCCUUGUGAGAGAGAGAGGAGGGGCCAUAGGGCUGGCCGUGCCCCCCCUUGGGAGUCCGAACUGGACAAGGAGGGGGCGGCGCCCCCUCUUUCCCUCCCUCCCUUUCUUCCCCCCUCCUUCUUUCUAGUUGGACUAGGAAAGGGGGGGGGGGUCCUACUCCUACUAGGAGGAGGACUCCCCCCUCUCCUUGGCGCGCCCCAAGGACGGCCGACCUUCCCCCUUGCUCCUUUAUAUACGGGGGCAGGGGGCACCCUAGAACACACAAGUUGAUUGUUUCCAGCCGUGUGCGGUGCCCCCCCUCCACCAUAAUCCACCUCGGUCAUAUCGUAGCGGUGCUUAGGCGAAGCCCUAUUCUGGUAGCAUCAUCAUCACCGUCAUCAUGCCAUCGUGCUGACAAAGCUCUCCCUUGACACUCUGCUAGAUCGUGAGUUCGUGGGACGUCACCGAGCUGAACGUGUGCAGAUCACGGAGGUGCCAUACUUUUGGUACUAGGAUCGUUCGAUCGUGAAGACGUAUGACUACAUCAACCGCGUUGUCAUAACACUUCCGCUUAUGGUCUACGAGGGUACGCAGGCAACACUCUCCCCUCUCGUUGCUAUGCGUCACCAUGAUCUUGCGUGUGCGUAGGAUUUUUUUUGAAAUUACUGCGUUACCCAACAGUGGCAUCCGAGCCACGUCUAUGCGUAUAUGUUUUAUGCACGAGUAGAACACAAAGGAGUUGUGGGUGUGGGUAUAUACAUAUUGCUUGUCGUCACUAGUUGUUUCCUGAUUCGGCAGUAUUGUUGGAUGAAGCGGCCCAGACCGACAUUACACGUACGCUUACGCGAGACUGGUUCUACCAACGUGCUUCGCACACAGGUGGUUGGUGGGUGUCAGUUUCUCCAACUUUAGUUGAAUUGGAUUCAAUGAACAGGGUUCUUUCUGAAGAUCAAAAAGCAAGCACUAUACCGUGUUGUGGUUCUUGAUGCGUAGGUAAGAACAGUUCUUGCUCAGCCCGUUGCAGCCACGUAAAACUUGCAACAACAAAGUAGAGGAUGUCUAACUUAUUUUUGCAGGGCAUGUUGUGAUCUGAUAUGGUCAAGACAUGAUGCUAAAUUUUAUUGUAUGAGAUGAUCAUGUUUGUAAUGGAGUUAUUGGCAACUGGCAGGAGCCGUAUGGUUGUCGCUUUAUUGUAUGAAAUGCAAUCGCCAUGUAAUUGCUUUACUUUAUCACUAAGCGGUAGUGAUAGUCGUAGAAGCAAUAGUUGGCGUGACGACAAUGAUGCUUCGAUGGAGAUCAAGGUGUCAAGCCGGUGAUAAUGGUGAUCAUGACGAUGCUUUGGAGUUGGAGAUCAAAGGCACAAGAUGAUGAUGGCCAUAUCAUAUCACUUAUAUUGAUUGCAUGUGAUGUUUAUCCUUUAUGCAUCUUAUUUUGCUUAGUUCGACGGUAGCAUUAUAAGAUGAUCUCUCACUAAAUUUCAAGGUAUAAGUGUUCUCCCUGAGUAUGCACCGUUGCUACAGUUUGUCGUGCCGAGACACCACAUGAUGAUCGGGUGUGAUAAGCUCUACGUUCACAUACAACAGGUGCAAGCCAGUUUUGCACACGCAGAAUACUCAGGUUAAACUUGAUGAGCCUAGCAUAUGCAGAUAUGGCCUCGGAACACUGAGACCGAAAGGUCGAGCGUGAAUCAUAUUGUAGAUAUGAUCAACAUAGUGAUGUUCACCAUUGAAAACUACUCCAUCUCACGUGAUGAUCGGACAUGGUUUAGUUGAUAUGGAUCACGUGAUCACUUAGAUGAUUAGAGAGAUAUCUAUCUAAGUGGGAGUUCUUAAGUAAUUUGAUUAAUUGAACUUUAAUUUAUCAUGAACUUAGUACCUGAUAGUAUUUUGCAUGUCUAUGUUGUUGUAGAUAGAUGGCCCAUGCUGUUGUUCUGUUGAAUUUUAAUGCGUUCCUAGAGAAAGCUAAGUUGAAAUAUGAUGGUAGCAACUACACGGACUGGGUCCGUAACUUGAGGAUUAUCCUCAUUGCUGCACAGAAGAAUUACGUCCUAGAAGCACUGCUAGGUGACAAACCCGCUACAGGAGCAACGCCAGAUGUUAUGAACACCUGGCAGAGCAAAGCUGAUGACUACUUGAUAGUUAAGUGUGCCAUGCUUUGCGGCUUAGAACCAGGACUUCAACGACGUUUUGAACGUCAUGGAGCAUAUGAGAUGUUCCAAGAGUUGAAGUUAAUAUUUCAAGCAAAUGCCCGGAUUGAGAGAUAUGAAGUCUCCAAUAAGUUCUACAGCUGCAAAAUGGAGGAGAAUAGUUCUGUCUGCGGACAUAUACUCAGAAUGUCUGGGUACUAUAAUCAUUUGACUCAGCUGGGAGUUAAUCUUCCGGUUGAUAGUGUCAUUAAUAGAGUUCUUCAAUCACUGCCACCAAGCUACAAGAGCUUCAUGAUGAACUAUAAUAUGCAAGGGAUGGAUAAGACGAUUCCUGCGCACUUCACAAUGCUAAAGGCUGCAGAGGUAGAAAUCAAGAAGGAGCAUCAAAUGUUGAUGGUCAACAAGACCACAAGUUUCAAGAAAAAGGGUAAAGGGAAGAAGGGGAACUUCAAGAAGAAUAGCAAGCUAGUUGCUGCUCAAGUGAAGAAACCCAAGUCUGGACCUAAGCCUGAGACUGAGUGCUUCUACUUCAAAGGGACUGGUCACUUGAAGCGGAACUGCCCCAAAUAUUUGGCAGAGAAGAAGGAUGGCAAAGUGAAAGGUAUAUUUGAUAUACAUGUUAUUGAUGUGUACCUUACUAAUGCUCGCAGUAGUGCCUGGGUAUUUGAUACUGGUUCAGUUGCUAACAUUUGCAACUCGAAACAGGGGCUACAGAUUAAGCGAAGAUUGGCUAAGGACGAGGUGACGAUGCGCGUGGGAAAUGGUUCCAAAGUCGAUGUGAUCGUCGUCGGUACUCUACCUCUACAUCUACCUUUGGGAUUAGUUUUAGACCUAAAUAAUUGUUAUUUGGUGCCAGCGUUGAGCAUGAACAUUAUAUCUGGAUCUUGUUUGAUGCGAGACAAUUAUUCAUUUAAAUCAGAGAAUAAUGGUUGUUCUAUUUAUAUGAGUAAUAUCUUUUAUGGUCAUGCACCCUUGAUGAGUGGUCUAUUUUUACUAAACCUUGAUAGUAGUGAUACACAUGUUCAUAGUAUUGAAGCCAAAAGAUGCAGUUGAUAAUGAUAGUGCAACUUAUUGUGGCGCUGCCGUUUAGGUCAUAUUGGUGUAAAGCGCAUGAAGAAACUCCAUUCUGAUGGACUUCUGGAAUCACUUGAUACUUGCGAACAAUGCCUCAUGGGCAAGAUGACUAAAACUCCGUUCUCCGGAACAAUGGAGUGAGCAAUAGAGUUAUUGGAAAUCAUACAUACUGAUGUAUGUGGUCCAAUGAACAUUGAAGCUCGCGGCGAAUAUCGUUAUUUUCUCACCUUCACUGAUGAUUUGAGUAGAUAUGGGUAUAUCUACUUAAUGAAACAUAAGUCUAAAACAUUUGAAAAUUUCAAAGGAUUUCAUAGUGAAGUGGAAAAUCAUCGUGACGAGAAAAUCAAGUUUCUGCGAUCUGAUCGUGAAGGUGAAUAUUCGAGUUAUGAGUUUGGACUUCAUUUGAAACAAUGCGGAAUAGUUUCGCAACUCACGCCACCUGGAACACCAUAGCGUAAUGGUGUGUCCGAACGUUGUAAUCGUACUUUACUAGAUAUGGUGCAAUCUAUGAUGUCUCUCACUGAUUUACCGCUAUCAUUUUGGGGUUAUGCUUUAGAGACAGCUGCAUUCACAUUAAAUAGGGCACCAUCUAUAUCUGUUGAGUUGACACCUUAUGAACUGUGGUUUGGCAAGAAACCCAAGUUGUUGUUUCUUAAAGUUUGGGGUUGCGAUGCUUAUGUGAAGAAACUUCAACCUGAUAAGCUCGAACCCAAAUCGGAGAAAUGUGUCUUCAUAGGAUACCCAAAGGAGACUGUUGGGUACACCUUCUAUCACAGAUCCGAAGGCAAGAUAUUCGUUGCUAAAAAUGGAUCCUUUCUAGAGAAGGACUUUCUCUCGAAAGAAGUGAGUGGGAGGAAAGUAGAACUUGAUGAGGUAAUUGUACCUUCUCCCUUAUUGGAAAGUAGUUCAUCACUGAAAUCAGUUCCAGUGAUUCCUACACCAGUAAGUGAGGAAGCUAAUGAUGAUGAUCAUGAAACUUCUGAUCAAGUUACUACCGAACCUCAUAGGUCAACCAAAGUAAGAUCCGCACCAGAGUGGUACAGAAUCCUAUUCUGGAAGUCAUGUUACUUGACCAUGACGAACCUACAAACUAUGAGGAAGUGAUGAUGAGCCCAGAUACCGCAAAAUGGCUUGAGGCCAUGAAAUCUGAGAUGGGAUCCAUGUAUGAGAACAAAGUGUGGACUUUGGUUGACUUGCCCGUUGAUCAGCAGGCCAUGGAGAAUAAAUGGAUCUUCAAGAGGAAGACUGACGCUGAUGGUAAUAUUACUGUCUACAAAGCUCGAGUUGUUGCAAAAGGUUUUCAACAAGUUCAAGGAGUUGACUACGAUGAGACCUUCUCACCCGUAGCGAUGCUUAAGUCCGUCUGAAUCAUGUUAGCAAUUGUUGCAUUUUAUGAUUAUGAAAUUUGGCAAAUGGAUGUAAAGACUGCAUUCCUGAAUGGAUUUCUGGAAGAAGAGUUGUAUAUGAUGUAACCUGAAGGUUUUAUCGAUCCAAAGGAUGCUAACAAAGUGUGCAAGCUCCAGCGAUCCAUUUAUGGACUGGUGCAAGCAUCUCAUAGUUAGAAUAAACAUUUUGAUAGUGUGAUCAAAGCAUAUGGUUUUAUACAGACUUUUAGAGAAGCCUAUAUUUACAAGAAAGUGAGUGGGAGCUCUGUAGCAUUUCUAAUAUUAUAUGUGGAUGACAUAUUGUUGAUUGGAAAUGAUAUAGAAUUUCUGGAUAGCAUAAAAGGAUAUUUGAAUAAGAGUUUUUCAAUGAAAGACCUCGGUGAAGCUGCUUAUAUAUUGGGCAUCAAGAUCUAUAGAGAUAGAUCAAGACGCUUAAUUGGACUUUCACAAAGCACAUACCUUGAUAAAGUUUUGAAGAAGUUCAAAAUGGAUCAAGCAAAGAAAGGGUUCUUGCCUGUAUUACAAGGUGUGAAUUUGAGUCAGACUCAAUGCCCAACCACUGCAGAAGAUAGAGACAAAAUGAAAGGUGUUCCCUAUGCUUCAGCCAUAGGCUCUAUCAUGUAUGUGAUGCUAUGUACUAGACCUGAUGUGUGCCUUGCUAUCAGUUUAGCAGGGAGGCACCAAAGUAAUCCAGGAGUGGAUCACUAGACAUCGGUCAAGAACAUCCUGAAAUACCUGAAAAGGACUAAGGAUAUGUUUCGCAUUUAUGGAGGUGACAAAGAGCUCGUCAUAAAUGGUUACUUCUAUGCAAGCUUUGACACUAAUUCGGAUGACUCUAAGUCACAAACCGGAUACGUGUUUUUAUUAAAUGGUGGAGCUGUCAGUUGGUGCAGUUCCAAGCAGAGCGUCGUGGCGGGAUCUACAUGUGAAGCGGAGUACAUAGCUGCUUUUGAAGCAGCAAAUGAAGGAGUCUGGAUGAAUGAGUUCAUAUCCGAUCUAGGUGUCAUACCUAGUGCAUCGGGUCCAAUGAAAAUAUUUUGUGACAAUACUGGUGCAAUUGCCUUGGCAAAGGAAUCUAGAUUUCACGAGAGAACCAAGCACAUCAAGAGACGCUUCAAUUCCAUCCAUGAUCAAGUCAAGGAGGGAGACAUAGAGAUUUGCAAGAUACAUACAGAUCUGAAUGUUGCAGACCCGUUGACUAAGCCUCUCUCACGAGCAAAACAUGAUCAACAUCAAGACUCCAUGGGUGUUAGAAUCAUUACAAUGUAAUCUAGAUUAUUGACUCUAGUGCAAGUGGGAGACUGAAGGAAAUAUGCUCUAGAGGCAAUAAUAAAGUUGUUAUUUAUAUUUCCUUAUAUCAUGAUAAAUGUUUAUUAUUCACGCUAGAAUUGUAUUAACCAGAAACUUAGUACAUGUGUGAAUACAUAGACAAACAGAGUGUCACUAGUAUGCCUCUACUUGACUAGCUCGUUGAAUCAAUGAUGGUUAUGUUUCAUGACCAUAGACAUGAGUUGUCAUUUGAUUAACGGGAUCACAUCAUUAGAGAAUGAUGUGAUUGACUUGACCAAUCCUUUAGCUUAGCAUGAUGAUCGUUUAGUUUGUUGCUAUUGCUUUCUCCAUAACUUAUACAUGUUCCUAUGACUAUGAGAUCAUGCAACUCCCGGAUACCGGAGGAACACUUUGUGUGCUAGCAAACUUCACAACGUAACUGGGUGAUUAUAAAGGUGCUCUACAGGUGUCUCCGAUGGUGUUUGUUGAGUUGGCAUAGAUAGACAUUAGGAUUUGCCACUCCGAUUGUCGGAGAGGUAUAUCUGGGCCCUCUUAGUAAUGCACAUCAAUAUAAGCCUUGCAAGCAAUGUGACUAAUGAGUUAGUUGUGGGAUGAUGCAUUACGGAACGAAUAAAGAGAUUUGCCGGUAACGAGAUUGAACUAGGUAUUGAGAUACCGAUGAUCGAAUCUCGGGCAAGUAACAUACCGAUGACAAAGGGAACAAUGUAUAUCGUUAUGCGGUUUGACCGAUAAAGAUCUUCGUAGAAUAUGUGGGAGCCAAUAUGAACAUCCAGGUUCCUCUAUUGGUUCUUGAGCGGAGACGUGUCUCGGUCAUGUCUACAUAGUUCUUGAACCCGUAGGGUCCGCACGCUUAACGUUUGGUGACGAUCGGUAUUAUGAGUUUAUGUGUUUUGAUGUACCGAAGGUAGUUCUAAGUCCCGGAUGUGAUCACAGACAUACUGAGGAGUCUUGAAAUGGACGAGACAUAAAGAUUGAUAUAUUGGAUGACUAUAUUCGGACACCGGAUGAGUUCUAGGGGUCACCAGAUAAUUAUAGGAGUGCCGGGGGGUUAUCGGAACCCCCAGGGGAACUAAUGGGCCAACAUGGGCCUUGUGAGAGAGGGAGAGAGAGGAGAGGCCAUAGGGAUGGCCCUCCACCCCUUGGGAGUCCGAAUUGGACAAGGAGGGGGGGGGGGCGGCGCCCCCCUCUUUCCCUCCCUUUCCUUCCCCUUCCUUCUUCCUAGUUGGACUAGGAAAGGNNNNNNNNNNNNNNNNNNNNNNNNNNNNNNNNNNNNNNNNNNNNNNNNNNNNNNNNNNNNNNNNNNNNNNNNNNNNNNNNNNNNNNNNNNNNNNNNNNNNNNNNNNNNNNNNNNNNNNNNNNNNNNNNNNNNNNNNNNNNNNNNNNNNNNNNNNNNNNNNNNNNNNNNNNNNNNNNNNNNNNNNNNNNNNNNNNNNNNNNNNNNNNNNNNNNNNNNNNNNNNNNNNNNNNNNNNNNNNNNNNNNNNNNNNNNNNNNNNNNNNNNNNNNNNNNNNNNNNNNNNNNNNNNNNNNNNNNNNNNNNNNNNNNNNNNNNNNNNNNNNNNNNNNNNNNNNNNNNNNNUAGCGGUGCUUAGGGGAAGCCCUAUUCCGGUAGCAUCGUCAUCACCGUCAUCACGCCGUCAUGCUGACGAAGCUCUCCCUCGACACUCUGCUGGAUCGUGAGUUCGUGGGACGUCACUGAGCUGAACGUGUUCAGAUCGCGGAGGUGCCGUACUUUCGGUACUAGGAUCGGUCGAUCGUGAAGACGUACGACUACAUCAACCACGUUGUCAUAACACUUCCGCUUACGGUCUACGAGGGUACGUAGACAACACUCUCCCCUCUUGUUGCUAUGCAUCACCAUGAUCUUGCGUGUGCGUAGGAUUUUUUUUGAAAUUACUGUGUUACCCAACAAUACAUGCUUGGCCUUCAAUGCAAGGUUGAUCUUUGAUGUUGAGGUACCAUGCAUGGCAAGAUGUUUUGCGGCAUUUUCCUUUGUCUCUUAAAAUAGUUGGAAAGUGGAUAUGAUGUCAUCUGGAGUCAUUUCCUUGAAUCCAUGGUGUUGUCUUAUGUCCCACACCAUUUGGUGAUGAUAUGGAGCAAUAGCAUGAAGCAACUUGUCCACGAGAAAUUGCUUAGUCAAGUUAAAUCCAUCUUGUGUCUUGUCACACUCACAGGACUCAAUGUCAGUGGUGAGAGUCAUGAGACGCUCAAGAAGUUUCUUGGGAGAUUCACCUUUCUCCAUACAGAAGUUUUGUAAUUGACCCUUGGCAAUUUCAUAUUGAGCAAGCCGGAGAGUGGAGGUACCGGUCUUGGUCCUCACAAUGCUAUCCCUUAAUUCCUUGGCACUUGUGAUAUGUAUGUAUGGUCUCCUUUGCUUGUCAGUCAUACCUCUCCUCAUGCACAUGGUUGGUGUGUCAUUGAGAUUCUUGUCAUAUACCUCUCUUGGAGUAAGAUUCUUCGGAUCAACAACUUGGUAGCCAUACUCCAAGAUUUCCAACAUCUCAUCAUUUCCAUAUCGAAGAUGAUCCUGCAUAGCAACUCUCCACAAAGCAAAAUUGGUAGUGUCAUCAAGUAAAGGAGGUUUGCCUUGAGGGUUAUACUUUGGCUUCUCUAUUUGAGGUCUUGCAUAAAGCCAUGGAACACUAGUUUGAUCAUUUCUAGGAGGUUGUUGGCCAAGUGAAGGAGUAGGCACAGUUGGCCUCGAGGCCGCACCACCAGAAAGUGGUGCGAGCAUCGUGGUUAGUGUGGCUAGUCUCAUUUGGACCAAGGCCUCAAGAGAAGCAUCAUGCUCCUCCUUUUGCUUAGCAAGCUCCCGUUCCAGAUCCUCAGAAGUGAAGGACUUGACUUCCGUGGAAGUUGCGCCCGUAUUCUUCGGAUCCGCAACAAGGGGAGUCCCAUCGGGGUUUAUCUCACUCUAGGGUGGUUAAGCCACAAGAAUAGAGCACGAGGCUCUGAUACCAAUUGAAAGGAUCGAGAUGGACCUAUAGGGGGGGUGAAUAGGUACAAUUACAUAUUUUAAUUAUUACUUAGCAAUUUUUAGGCAAUAAUGUGGAAUAUGAAAGUGAGCCUAACAAUUGCAAGUAUGAUGCUACUAAGAGCUAAGCAAGGUAAACAAGUAACACAAAUAUGUGAGUAGGCAAGCACAAUAUGAUAUGAGUAAUUGCUAUGAGACAAGUAACCACAAGUAGAGAGUUGGGGUUAGGAAUAACCACAACUCCAAGAGACGAGGAUGUAUGCCGAUGUUCACUUCCUUGGAGGUAAACUACGUCACCGUUUAGAGAGGUGGAUGUUACCACGAAGGCACACCAAUGCCACGAAGACUCACCCUAUUCUCUCUUUGAGACAACACCAUGAAGGCAUUUCUCAACCACUAGUGGUAGACCUUGGGGUGGUCUCCAAACCCUCAAAAACUUUCCGGGGGUAAUCACAAUGAUCAAUUCCUCACCGAAAGACUCCUACCGCCUAGGAGUCUCCAACCUCCAAGAGUAACAAGAUCUGAGGGGAAAAAGCUCAAGACUUGCUCAAAUCAUGAUUUGCUUCGGUCACAAGAAGGAGAGGGAGAAGAUAUUUCUUUUGUUGGAACAACUCUUUCAAACUCUCAAGAAUCAAACCGGGAUCUAGGAUUUCGUGGAUGAGCAAGAGAGAGGGAGCACAAGUGUUCUUGAGGCAUGUUGGAGUGGAGUGUUCCACCUUAUCUCAAAGAGGUAAGGAGAUAUUUAUACCCACAAUAGAAUAGAGCCGUUUUGAGCAGAGGUUGACUUGCCCAGAUGAUCUGGAGGACCAUUCGGAUGAUCUGGUCACAAGCCCUCCGGCUAAAGACCCGGAUGAAAGUGGUAGCAGCAGAGCUGCAUGGAGGCCGGACAGCCCGGAUGAUCUGGUCACACGCUCGAAUGAUCCGGAUGAACGACCGGACAAUCCGGCUUUAUCCAUGAAACUUCUGUGACGGAAGAGGCGAUAUUAUCCGGACGAUCCAGGACAAGGUUCGGAUGAUCCAGCUACAAUCAGUGCCAAAUGAUGCUUCCUGGAUGCAUUAUCCGGAUGAUCCGAUCCAGCACCGGAUGAUUCGGGGACAAGCCCAGAUGAUUCGGGGCCAAUUCCGGUUGAUCCCUCUAUGGGGUCAGCUUGUGGAGAGAAUGAAGAGAAAGAGUGGUAGGUUUUGGCUAAGGGGUUUUGCUAGGGAGUUUGGUCUUUUGUGAAAAACUACUUGUCAGGUAGAUUGUGAGCAAGCCUUGAACCUACACCUCGGAUCCCCUCUUAAUAGUGCGGGAUCCCUAUUACUCAAGAAAUAUAUAAAAGAGCACGAUGAUUCGUCUUUGAUUGCUCCUUUCCUCAUUGAUUACUUGCUUGAGUAAUAUCUCAUAUGAUGUGACCAUGACGCACAUUAGAAAAACUAGAGGACUGAUGACCUGUGUAUAUACUUAGCAAACAAGGUUAGUUCCCUAUAUGUAAAUUUGUCAUCAACAUCAAAAAUAUUCUUAAGAGUAAUAUUGCACUUUCAGCAACGCCAUGGAGGGUCGAGAAGGUCCCGUGCGGUCGGGCGUGGCCGCGUCCCUCACGCUGGAGGUGUGUGAUGCCGUGUUGGGUGAGCCGAACGCGAAUCAUCCAUAUCCACUAUGUUGGGUAGUCUGGGCUUGCUACGUUCGGUGGUGUCACACCUGGUCAUUUGACCUCGCCGCACUUGUUGCCUUUGACGAGUAGUACUACAUCAACCUCUCUUUGGUGGCAACUUAUUGUGUGUAUAGGCAAUGCCCUCGCUCUCUAGUUCUGGACAUAGGAAGUCGAGUUGCUCGUUGCAGAGGACGCCUUAGGAUAGAAAACUCAUUUUUAUACAAAAAUGACUAUUAGUCGUUCUUUUAUAAACCAGGUUUUUAGGCUUUAGAAAAACUCGGUUUUAUAUAUUCACAAUUCGGUUAGACAAAACAAACAAGGUUUUAGUUUGUUGCAUUACGUUUAGAAGAACUCAUUUUUCUGUAACCAUCCUAUCCGAACAACCCUACAUGAACAAAGCCAAUAUUUUAUCUGGUCGCAGUGAUGAAAAUACAUUAGAACCAAAUCAUAUAAACUUCCAUUCGUUAUCCUAUACCUGGACACAUUUCUCAAUAUGUUGAUGUCUUUUGUUGGUGUUCCAAAACAUCAUGACACAUUCAUCUAGCAAGGAGAAUAGAAUAUACCCAAAUCUACCUUCUGGGCUGCAAUUUGAAAGGUAAAACCCCUUUGAAGGAAAUAUGCCCUAGAGGCAAUAAUAAAGUUGUUAUUUAUAUUUCCUUAUAUCAUGAUAAAUUUUUAUUAUUUAUGCUAGAAUUGUAUUAACCGGAAACUUAGUACAUGUGUGAAUACAUAGACAAACAAAGUAUCCCUAGUAUGCCUCUACUUGACUAGCUCGUUAAUCAAAGAUGGUUAAGUUUCCUAGCCAUAGACAUGUGUUAUCAUUUGAUGAACAGGAUCACAUCAUUAGAGAAUGAUGUGAUGGACAAGACCCAUCUAUUAGCUUAGCACUAUGAUCGUUUAGUUUAUUGAUAUUGCUUUCUUCAUAACUUACACAUGUUCCUCAGACUAUGAGAUUAUGCAACUCCCGAAUACUGGAGGAACACCUUGUGUGCUAUCAAAUGUCACAACGUAACUGGGUGAUUAUAAAGAUGCUCUACAGGUGUCUUCGAUGGUGUUUGUUGAGUUGGCAUAGAUCGAGAUUAGGAUUUGUCACUCCGUGUAUCGGAGAGGUAUCUCUGGGCCCUCUCGGUAAUGCACAUAAUGUCACAUCCCUAGUUCUGGUAUGACCUAGACCAGCUAGUCUUUUGUGCAUCAUGUUUAAAUUCCAUUUAAAUUUGAAAUGGAUUUGUGAAACCCUCAGAAUCAUUUCUGAAAAUGACCCAAGUAAAAAUUGCUCCAAAAUGGUCCAUGAAAAUGCUCAUGUUGCUCUCUGAAAAUAUUGGACAGAGAUAAAAAUCAAAUCAAUAUUUUUAAGAGCUCAUAAGUAUUUAUUUUGGGCAUUUGGAAUUAAUCCAGUAAUUAUUUGCUUUGGAUAUAUAUUUGCUAUAUAUAUAAUAUAUGUCCAAAAAAUUCUGAAUUUUGGUGAGGGGCUUUGGAUUAAUCCCUUAGGUCCCUGCAAAAUUUGACAGAAUUAAAUAAAAUGGUUUGGUAUUUUUACUAAAUCAAAAACAAAUGCCAGAAAAUAGAAAAGAAAAACAAAAAGGGAAUUACUUACCUGGACCUUACCUGCAGCCUGGCGGCCCAGCAGAGGCCCAGCCCACUGGCCUCUGAUAGUCACCACCUACCUCCCGCCAGGAGGACAACGCGAGCACGCGCCCCGCCACCUCCUGCUUCCUGCCGCUGCCCCGACGCGCCUAGGUGUUGCCACGCACCCCCCGACCCCCCCUCAUCCACUCCCCUCCCCUCUGGUCGCCCCUCUCCUCCUCUGCUCUCUUCCCCACUGCUGCCCGAACGCUGCCGUCGCCGCCGCUCGCCACCGACACGCUCUCCGCCGUUCCCUCGCCCCUCUGACGAGUCCACGAGCUCCACCACGUCGCCUUCUCCGUCUUCGUCAAGCCAAGCAAACGGGGACGCCCCGUGGAGCCAUCACCGCUGUCUUCUUCAUAUCCAGCCGCCGGAGAUCGCCGUCGCCGUUCUGCCCGCGUCGCACCUUCCCCGAGCUCGCUGACGCCUCCGCCGGAUCCUCUGUGAGCCAAUGCGUCGAUCCCCCCUCUCCCCUAGCUCGAUUCCUUCCUCUAACAACGAUGUCGUUGGAGCCGAGAGCUCUUCGCCGCCGUUCAUGUCGCCGUCGUGGCCACUGUCACCUAGGGCCGCGACCGAGCACGCCACCGUGCUCAGUGGAAAGCCAGGACCCCAAAACCCUCACCUGUUUCUCCUGCCGUGCACCGUAGCCCCUUCUCCCCCCGAACUCCGGCCGCCGCCCAAGUGGUCGCCGCCGUCGAUUUAGGCCGUCUCCGGUGAAACAGAGGGCACCAGUGGAUCCGCGCGAGCACCAGCUCCUCGGAGAUGGUCUCCGCGGCCCAUUUGGUCGCCAGAGACGCGAUCCCGAGCCUCUCCGUCGCGUUCGGCCUUGCCGGCGGGUUGGCUGGGUUUAACCCCCCCAGUUGACCAGAUUUGACCGUAUGGGUCAAUGACAUGUGGGGCCCGACCCGUCAGGUGAUUAGCUUAGUGCUAAUCAUCGCUUAUUUAACCCCCUGACGCUGACCAGUGGGCCCCAGCGCCACUAAUCCUACAAUUAGGAUAAUCUAACCCCCUGUUUAACCCGUGUCACUGACGUGUGGACCCCACAUGUCAGGUUUAACCAGUCAGCGUUGUUGACUUGCUGACGCAAGCAUGACGCAGUGCUGACGCAGUUAUUUCUUUUCUGGUUUUAAAUAAAUCAGGAAAUUCCAGAAAAUGAUAUAAACUUUAAAAAUUCAUAGAAAUUCAACCGUAGCUCAGAUUUAAAUAAUUUAUAUAUGAAAAAUUAUCAGAAAAAUUCAAUCUAUCCAUCUGUACCAUUUUCAUGCAUGACAAACCAACCUAUACAUGCCAUAUAUAUGAAAACACAUGAAAGGCAUUUAUAAAGGCUUAUUUUGGAGUUGCAUUUGAAACUUUGGUUCAAAUGGACUUCAUGCAAAUGAAUGCUAGAUGCAUUAACUCAAACAAACAUCACAUACUCAUGCCAUGAUCAUGCAUCAUGUUGUUGCAUAUGCUUGUGUUUGAUUUUCGACACCGUUCCUUCUCGAUAGGUCCUGCUCCGGAGACCAAUCCAGAGUACCUGUCAGAGGAGCAGUGCCCCCUGUUGAUCUACCAGGCAAGCAAACCCCCCUUGUUCAUUCCGAUACAAUCCUACUCUCUCACUCCUGCUCUCAUUUAUUGCACUAGGACAACAAUGAUUCAACUGCUACUUUGUGUUGCGGUAGAUGAACCCAUUCCUCUGCAUGACCUGUCAUUGCCACAGUAACUAGUUGAAACCCACUAGCAUGUGUAGGAGUUGAUUGAAGCCAUUGUUGUGUUCCUACCAUGCCAUGCUUGCUAUUGCUUAGAGUGUGUCAGGUCUGAUUCAUUGGGAAUGAAUUGGAGUACAGUGCUAUGUUCUGAUGUUGAAAGUUAAGCGUGUGAACACGAUUUGGUAAAGGUAGCGGUGAGAGGCCAUGUAGGAGUACAUGGUGGGUUGUCUCACUAGAACCUUCCUUAAGCACUGAGUUCUAUGUAUGUUGUCCAAUGACUCGAUACUACCACACAUUGGGUUCCGGUAACUCGACCCCUCUCGACUUAUUAACCAACUUGAUCUUUGUCCAGGAGUCGCAACUAGUUUCUGGUGUUUGUAGGUAGUGUUAGUAGUCUACCAAGUGGCACCCGGCCAGGUGGGCUUGGGACAGACUAGACACAGUGGCACGGUGUACCAAGUGGCACCCGGAUGGUGGGCUUGGGAACCCUUCUCACAUCGUUUGGGGCCGUGAGCGACAUCCCGGCCGGAUCUCCUUGCGGAUGGAACCCAAAUAGGCGAUAAAACUGGAUGAGAGACUUGUGUGGUUAGUCAGGUUGUGGCCGACACCCUCGCCAGGCUUCCGCUUGAAGGUUGCCGAGGUACAUGACAUGUACAUGGCGAUAAGUGGCGAGAGCAUGUGUGAAUAAGUACACCCCUGCAGGGUUAUCAUGAUCUAUUCGAAUAUCCGUGUCCUCGAUUAUGGACUUCUUGGAUGCUUACGUGGUACAUAGACAACUUAAAGUGGAUACCCUAAAAUGCUCAAGACAAGUGUGAGUGCUAUGGAUGGCCUUCUCGUAAGGAGACGAGGAUGAAUCCAUAGUAGUGUAUUGAUGUGGUGAUUAGUGGACUCGUGUGCGCUGCCUCACCUCAAAGAAGUUUCUCGUUGUCGUAGAACAGGAUAGCCACUGAGUCAAAGCUGGCUUGUUGUAACUAAACCCCAUAUUACCUUAUUGACACAAAUGCAUGUAUGAUAGGAUCUGAUGUAAGUCUUGCCGAGUACCUUUGUACUCACGUUUGCUUUAUUUAUGUUUUGCAGGUGAGACAUCUGUCUCACUAGUAGUACCGCUUGGACUUCGACGAGUAGCUUGUUACCUCAGCUACGAUCUUGUACCCUUGGGAGGGACUUGUAGAUAGUCAGGCCUCUUAGCCUUUUUCUUUUGUAGUUGUCUGUACUCAGACAUGUAAUGCUUCCAUUGCUUGUAUGCUCUGAAUGAUGGGUCAUGUGACCCCUGUUUGUAUUUAAUGCUAUGUGGCUCUUCUGGGCCUUUAUCUAUAUGAGUUUGUGUUAUGUUGUGAUGCCAUGUUGUACAACACAUACUUGCAUGUGAUGCGUACGUGUGACAUGUAUUGCUAUGUGUAGGAUCCGACAAUCUAGUUGUUUAUCCUUGGCAGCCUCUCUUAUGGGGAAAUGUAGUCUAGUGGUUCUUUGAGCCAUAGUAGUCCGCUACAGCCCGGUUCACCGGAGUCCUGCUAGCCCAGCACUACUGCUCAGGACACUUGACUGGCCGGCAUGUGUUUCAUUUCGUUCAUGUGUCUGUCCCUUCGGGGAAAUGUCACGCGGUGACCUCCGGAGUCCUGCCUAGCCUGCUACAGCCCGGGUUCCGCGGAGUCCUGUUAGCCCAGUGCUACAGCCCGGAUUCACACACUGCUGCCCGACAUGCUCAAUGUGAAUCAUGUAUGCCUGUCCCCAUAGGUUAGUGCCGCUUUGGGUUCACGACUAGCCAUGUCGGCCCGGGUUCUCUGUCAUAUGGAUGCUAGCGACACUAUCAUAUACGUGAGCCAAAAGGCGCAAACGGUCCCAGGCCAUGGUAAGGCUACACCCAUGGGAAUAUCGUGCGUGAGGCUGCAAAGUGAUAUGAGGUGUUACAGGCUAGAUCGGUGUGACUUAGAAUCGGGGUCCCGACACAUCACUAUGAGCCUUGCAAGCAAUGUGACUAAUGAGUUAGUCAUGGGAUGAUGCAUUACGGAACGAGUAAAGAGACUUGCUGGUAACGAGAUUGAACUAGGUAUGAUGAUACCGACGAUCGAAUCUCGGGCAAGUAACAUACCGAUGACAAAGGGAACAACAUAUGUUGUUAUGCGGUUUGACCGAUAAAGAUCUUUGUAGAAUAUGUAGGAGCCAAUAUGAGAAUCUAGGUUCCGCUAUUGGUUAUUGACCAGAGAUGUUUCUCGGUCAUGUCUACAUAGUUCUCAAACCCGUAGGGUUCGCACGCUUAACGUUCGAUGGUGAUAUGUAGUAUAAGUUAUGUGAUUUGAUGUACCGAAGGUUGUUUGGAGUCCCGGAUGUGAUCACAGACAUGAUGAGGAGUCUCGAAAUGGUCGAGACAUAAAUAUUCAUAUAUUGGAAGGCUACAUUCGGACAUCGAAAUGGUUCGGGUCGUUUCAGAUAAGUUUUGGAGUACCGGGGGUUACCGGAACCCCCUCUGGGAAGUUAUUGGGCCUUAUGGGCCUAAUGGUGGAAGAGAGGAGGCAGGCCAAGGUGUGGCGCGCGCCUCCUGGCCCAAACCGAAUUGGACUAGGGCUAGGGGGGUCGGCCCCCCUUCCCUUCUCUUCUUCCUCUCCUUCCUUCUUCUCCUACUAGGACUAGGAAAGGGGGCAACCUACUCCUACUAGGAGUAGGAUUCCCCCCCUUGGGCGCGCCCCUUGUGGCCGGCCCUCCUCCUCCUCCCCUCCUUUAUAUACAGGGUAGGGGGCACCCCAUAGACACACAAGUUGAUCUUUAGCCGUGUGUGGUCCCCCCCUCCACAGUUUUACACCUUGGUCAUAUUGUCGUAGUGCUUAGGCGAAGCCCUGCGCCAGUAACUUCAUCAUCACCGUCAACACGCCAUCGUGCUGACAGAACUCACCCUCGGCCUCAGAUGGAUCAAGAGUACGAGGGACGUCACCGAUCUAAACGUGUCCAGAUCGCGGAGGUGUUGUGCGUUCGGUACUUGAUCGGUUCGAUCGCGAAGACGUUUGACUACAUCAACCGCGUUACUUAACGCUUCCGCUUCACACCCCCCUCUUGUUGCUAUGCAUCUCCUAGAUAGAUCUUGCGUGAUCGUAGGAAUUUUUCUGAAAUACUGCGUUCCCCAACAGUGGCAUCCGAGCUAGGUCUAUGCGUAUAUGUUGUAUGCACGAGUAGAACACAAAGAAUUGUGGGCGAUAAUAGUCAUACUCCUUACCAGCAUGCCAUACUUUGAUUCGGCAGUAUUGUUGGAUGAAGCAGCCUAGACCGACAUUACAUGACCGUGUUCAUGAGACUGGUUCUACCGCCGUGCUUCGCACACAGGUGCCUAGUGGGUGUCUGUUUCUCUAGCUUUAGUUGAAUCGAGUUUGACUACGCCCGGUCCUUGUUGAAGGUUAAAACAUCACACUUGACGAAAACUCAUUGUGGUUUUGAUGCGUAGGUAAGAACAGUUCUUGCUAGAAGCCCGUAGAAGCCACGUAAAACUUGCAACAACAAAGUAGAGUACGUCUAACUUAUUUUUGCAGGGCUUGGUGUGAUGUGAUAUGGUCAAGAUGUGAUGAUAUAUAAAUUGUUGUAUGAGAUGAUCAUGUUUUGUAACAGUUAUCGGCAACUGGCAGAGCCAUAUGGUUGUCACUUUAUUGUAUGAAAUGCAAUCGCCAUGUAAUUGCUUUACUUUAAGACAAAGCGGUAGCGAUAGUCGUAGAAGCAAUAGUUGGCGAGACGACAAUGAUGCUUCGAUGGAGAUCAAGGUGUCAAGCCGAUGACGAUGGUGAUCAUGACGGUGUUUGGAGAUGGAGAUCAAAGGCACAAGAUGAUGAUGGACAUAUCAUAUCACUUAUUUGAUUGCAUGUGAUGUUUAUCCUUUAUGCAUCUUAUUUUGCUUUGUUCACUGGUAUAAUUAUAAGAUGAUCUCUCACUAAAUUUGAAGGUAUAAGUGUUCUCCCUGAGUAUGCACCUUUGCUUCAGUUUGUCGUGCCGAGACGCCACAUGAUGAUCGGGUGUGAUAAGCUCUACGUUCACAUACAAUGGGUGCAAGCCAGUUUUGCACAUGCGGAAUACUCGGGUUAAACUUGAUGAGCCUAGCAUAUGCAGAUAUGGCCUCGGAACACUAAUACCGAAAGGUCGAGCGUGAAUCAUAUAGUAGAUAUGAUCAACAUAGUGAUGUUCACCAUUGAAAACUACUUUAUCUCACGUGAUGAUUGGACAUGGUUUAGUUGAUAUGGAUCACGUGAUCACUUAGAUGAUUAGAGGGAUGAUCACUUAAAUUUAUCAUGAACUUAGUCCUAAUAGUAUUUGCAUCUAUGUUGUAGAUCAACUGCUCGCGUAUAGCUUCCCCGUUUUAUUUAUGAUAUGUUCCUAGAGAAAACUAUAUUGAAAGAUGUUAGUAGCAAUGAGGCGGACUAGCUCCGUGAUCUGAGGAUUAUCCUCAUUGCUGCACAGAAGAAUUAUGUCCUUGAUGCACCGCUAGGUGAUGGACCUAUUGCAGGAGCAGAGGCAGACGUUAUGAACGUUUGGCAAGCUCGGUAUGAUGACUACUUGAUAGUUUAGUGCGCCAUGCUUUACGGCUUAGAACCGGGACUUCAAAAACAUUUUGAAUGCCACAGAGCAUAUAAGAUGUUCCAAGAGUUGAAAUUAGUAUUUCAGACUCAUGCCCGUGUCGAGAGGUAUGAGACCUCUGAUAGUACUUUGCCUACAAGAUGGAGGAGAAUAGCUCAACCAGUGAGCAUGUGCUCAGAUUGUCUGGGUACUACAAUUGCUUGAAUCAAGUGGGAGUUAAUCUUCCUGAUAAGAUAGUGAUUGACAGAAUUCUCUAGUCAAUAUCACCAAGUUAUUGGAACUUAGUGAUGAACUAUAAUAUGCAAGGGAUGACGUAAAAUGAUUCCUGAGCUCUUCGCGAUGCUGAAAUCAGCAAAGGUAGAAAUCAAGAAAAGCAUCAAGUGUUGAUGGUUGACAAGACCACUAGUUUCAAGUAAAAGGGCAAGGGAAAGAAAGGGAACUUCAAGAAGAAUGGCAAGCAAGUUGCCACUCCCAUGAAGAAGCCCAAAGCUAGACCCAAGCCUGAAACUGAGUGCUUCUACUCCAAAGGAAAUGGUCACUGGAAGCGGAACUGCCCCAAAUACUUAGCAGAUAAGAAGGAUGGCAAAGUGAACAAAAGUAUAUAUGAUGUACAUGUUAUUUAUGUGUACUUUACUAGUGUUCAUAGUAUCCCCUGGGUAUUUGAUACUGCUUCAGUUGCUAUGAUUAGUAACUUAAAAUAGGAGUUACAAAGUGGACAAAGACUAGUUAAGGGUGAGGUGAUGAUGUGUGUUGGAAGUAAUUCCAAGGUUGAUAAGAUCACCAUCGCACACUCCCUUUACCUUCGAGAUUAGUGUUGAACCUAAAAUAAAUGUUGUUUGGUGUUUGCGUUGAGCAUAAUAUGAUUGGAUCAUGUUUAUUGCAAUACGGUUAUUCAUUUAAGUCAAAGAAUAAUUGUUAUUCUGUUUACAUGAAUAAAACCUUCUGUGGUCAUACACCCAAGGUGAAUGGUUUAUUGAAUCUCGAUCGUAGUAAUGCACAUAUUCAUAAUAUUGAUGCCAAAAGAUGCAAAGUUGAUAAUGAUAGUGCAACAUACUAGUGGCACUGCCGUUUAGGUCAUAUUGGUGUAAAGCGCAUGAAGAAACUCCAUGCGGAUGGAUUUUUGGAAUCACUUGAUUAUGAAUCAUUUGAUGCUUGCGAACCAUGCCUCAUGGGAAAGAUGACUAAGACUCUGUUCUCUGAAACAAUGGAGCGAACCACUGGCUUACUGGGAAUAAUACAUACUGAUGUAUGUGGUCCGAUGAGUGUUGAGGCUCGCGGCGGGUAUCGUUAUUUUCUUACCUUCACAGAUGAUUUAAGCAGAUAUGGGUAUAUCUACUUAAUGAAACACAAGUCUGAAACAUUUGAAAAGUCCAAAGAAAUUCAGAGUGAAGUUAAGAAUCAUCGUAACGAGAAAAUAAAGUUUCUACGAUCUGACUACGGAAGCAAAUAUUUGAGUUACGAGUUUGGCCUUCAUUUAAAAACAAUGUGGAAUAAGUUUCACAACUCAUGCCACCUGGAACACCACGGAGUAAUGGUGUGUCUGAACGUCAUAACUGUACUUUAUUAGAUAUGGUGCGAUCUAUGAUGUCUCUUACCAAUUUACCACUAUCAUUUUGGGGUUAUGCAUUAGAGACAACUGCAUUCACGUUAAAUAGGGCACCGUCUAAAAAUCCGUUGAGACGACACCAUGUGAACUGUGGUUUAGCAAGAAACCUAAGCUGUCAUUUCUUAAAGUUUGGGGUUGCGAUGCUUAUGUUUCAGCCUGAUAAGCUCAAAAACCCAAAUUGGAGAAGUGCGUCUUCAUAGGAUACCCAAAAGAAACUGUUGGGUACACCUUCUAUCACAGAUCCGAAGGCAAGAUCUUUGUUUCUAAGAGUGGAUCCUUUCUAGAGAAGGAGUUUCUCUCAAAAGAAGUGAGUGGGAGGAAAGUAGAACUUGAUGAGGUAAUUGUACCUUCUCUCCAAUUGGAAAGUAGCUCAUCACUGAAAUCAGUUCCAGUGAUGCCUGCACCAAUUAGUGAGGAAGUUAAUGAUGAUGAUCAUGAAACUUCAGAUCAAGUUACUACCGAACCUCGUAGGUCAACUAGAGUACGUUCCACACAAGAGUGGUACGGUAAUCCUAUUCUGGAAGUCAUGUUAUUAGACCAUGACGAACCUACGAACUAUGAGGAAGUGAUGAUGAGCCCAGAUUCCGUGAAAUGGCUUAAGACCAUGAAAUCUGAGAUGGGAUCCAUGUAUGAGAACAAAGUAUGGACUUCACUUGACUUGCCCGAUGAUCGGUGAGCCAUUUAGAAUAAAUGGAUCUUCAAGAGGAAGACGGACGCUGAUAGUAGUGUUACUAUCUACAAAGCUCAAAUUGUCGCAAAAGGUUUUUCCACAAGUUUAAGGUGUUGACUAUGAUGAGAUUUUCUCACUCGUAUCGAUGCUUAAAAGUCUGUCCGAAUCAUGUUAGCAGUUGCCACAUUUUAUGAAAUCUGGCAAAUGGAUAUCAAAACUACAUUCCUGAAUGGAUUUAUUAAAGAAGAGUUGUAUAUGAUGCAACCAGAAGGUUUUGUCAAUCCUAAAGGUGCUAACAAAGUGUGCAAGCUCCAGCGAUCCAUCCACUACAAAAAAAAGACACAUCCGUGACAUUUUGGGCCGAACGAAAAAAAAAA
RNAcentral lists this long non-coding RNA (67069 nucleotides) under Triticum aestivum (bread wheat). RNAcentral's name for it is "long non-coding RNA (TAES_LNC021004)". The record is from RNAcentral. Lineage: Eukaryota; Viridiplantae; Streptophyta; Magnoliopsida; Poales; Poaceae.